RNAcentral lists this long non-coding RNA (62720 nucleotides) under Panax ginseng (ginseng). Its description in RNAcentral is "long non-coding RNA (PGIN_LNC008938)". The record is from RNAcentral. Lineage: Eukaryota; Viridiplantae; Streptophyta; Magnoliopsida; Apiales; Araliaceae.
UUUUUACAUUUUAAGUUAAUUAGUAAUAGUCCUUAAAAAUAUGUUAUAACAUGUUGAACUUGCUGUUUGAGUACAUGCAAAUAAAAUGGCCUCUAAUCUUUCCAGAUCUUUGUAUUGCAUUAUUUGAUGGAACUGCGACAACGGGACUUGAUAGUUGGGGUCCUAUUGUGGAAGAGCUAGGACUAAAGAUAAAUCUUUGGACUUGGAGGUUGUUAGUCUUAAGGACAUUCCUUUCAGCACCCAAGGUCAAGGGUCUUCUAUUCCAUCUCCUAAAUCAUCAACUUUCGGUACGCAAUCUCAUGCUUUCGGUCCUAGCUUUGAGGGAGAAAGGCCAAAGAAAAAAGCUAGGCGUUCAUCAAAACAAACCUACAACACUAACCUAGAUGGAGAGAUGUCCAAGGCCUUGAAACUCAUUGUUGAAAAGAAUAGUGGACCUUUCGUAAAAGAAUACAAAGAUAAGUUGGAAGAACUUGGGUGGGGACCGGAAAAUCCACUACACAAGAUGACUCUUUGAAGCAUGGAUGAUUCUAAAAGAGAAUGAGGUUGAAAAUUGGGUUACGAUGGUUUCACGCAAGGUAGGAUACAUUGCUUAGUUUGUUGGAUAUUAGUUAAUUACAAACUUUUUAUUAUGUUGGUGGAUAUAUUUGGGGGCUAGGUAAUUUGAUAUUUUUGGGGACAAACUUCUUAUCUUUGGGGCUAGUUAAUUUGAUAUUUUUGGGAUACAAACUUGUCUAAGUUGGGGCUUAUUUGCUAGUUAUGGAUGUGACAUUUAAUGAAAAAUGUCAAGGGAUUGAAGAAAAAGGAAGGUCUAAAGGGAAAAAGAAGAAUGAAAUCACAAUAUGAGAUACGUACAAGAAUAGUUAGAAAAACCUCUAAUUCUAAUAUGAUAAUUUAAACUUUUAUAUAUAUGCGUGUACUUUACUUGAUUGCUUUUGUUAUGGAUGAUAGUUUCAACUUUUUUAUUUCUCAAACUUGCAGGAGGAUUGCUCGAGUCCACAUACAACACACAAUGUUCGUUUGCAAGAACCAAUUUUUAAUCUUAAUCUGGCGCCAAUUCAAGAAGUGGCAUGGAGCUAGAUCAUCUGUAUUUCACUAUUUUUGUUCGAUAGUAGCUUUAACUUUUUUUUUGCAGACAAUGUGUUAUUUGAGUUCUAUUGUUCUGCUGUGAAAAUGCCCGUUCUUGACUUGAAAGAUCUACUUGAAGGGAUAACAUGUUCUGUAGGUGGUGAAUCUUGUGUUUCUGGAUGUGUCAUGUGUGAAGACAGCAUGUAUAUGACUAGCUAUUUUUUCAUAUGAAGGCUUUUAUUUUUGUGUGCUUAUGAAGGCAUUGUUUAUUGUGUGUUUUGAUGUGCUAUUGCAUUUUGGUCUAUUGAUGUGCUAUUACAGGGCAUGUGUUUGUUUGUCUCCAAAGAUGGUUGGAUGAGAUAUGAUUUUGUAUAAAUUUAGGCUCAUAUAUAUUUAUUUUAUUCAAUCGAUACUUGUUUCUGUUCAAGUAAUUUUAUUUUUGGUAAUAUCAGUGUCUUAAUUUAACACUGUUAGAAAUUAUUUAUUGAUUGAAGCAAAAGAGGAGAUUAUUACUACUAUUCAACCUCUCUCAAUUAAACAUGGUCCAAGUUGAUGUGUUUGUGAUGGUAAGUAGUAGUAGUAGUACUAGCACUUUCUUGCUUUGGAUGAAUUGAAAUGGAAUGAUGAAAAGAGUCUCCAAGGCAUGAAUGAAUCCCUCCGAAGCUAGAAGAAUAAUAAUAGUUUGCAGAGUAUGAAAAACAACCUUUUAAUUAGGUAUGUUAUUCCUAAAUAACUUAUUUUUGAUAAUAAUGUUCAAAUAUUCCUUCCACCCAAAUCUCACUCCCAACCUUUUACACCCCCAACUACACAAUCUCCUCCUCUUUUGCUUUCAAUUCCUUGACCUUGGUUUGAAGACGUUGUCCCUCUAGUAUUUCAGCUCUGCUAUUCUCUCCUUGAUGUCAUCCAUUUCAGCUAUCUGAAGAAAUACAAUAGGAAAAUGUACCACAUUUAAAAUCCAAGUAGAAUACUUGAAAAAUGCCCAGAUAUCCAAAUCUGAGUCAGAAACAAACAAGAUCUAUUCAGUGUUGAAACCAUCCUCACCUUUUGGGUACCACCGGAUGCAUAAAGCUUUAACACUGCUCACAUCAACGAGUACAUGAGGGACAAGACUAGCCAAAUCUGGCAUAUACUUCUGCACAAGCACUUUUUUUUCAAGUAAAGGUUGUACAACUAAUUUAGGCAAAAAGAAAGAAUAAUGUUCAUUGCUCACAAAACUUCCUUCUCAAAAAUCGAAAUCAAAAAUACACAAUGGGUAAAUACGGAUAGAGUCUUAAAGUUUUUUUCCCCCUCAACAGAUGUUCAUAACAGAAGCUGAAUGCUCUUCAACAAGAACAAUGAUUGCUAAAUGCACAUAUUAUAUCAUAGAAUAAUAAUAUCUACCUAUUAUAUUCUAAAGAUUCCUAAUAUUAUUUGAUUUAAUAUGUAUGUAUAUAUAAUAUACAUAAACCUUUACAUAACUUCAGGAAUAAAAGAUCCACAUAGACUGAAUUUCCUGCAAGAAGAGGCGUAUGUGCGCCCACAUUUCUCUUAACAAAUUGCACAACCUACAAGAGUGCUAAAUAUGUUAAGGGAUAUGAUUAUAAGAGACCCAACUUCAAAGGACAAUUAAACUAUUAAAAUAUACAACAUUGAAAUACUAGAGACUAGAGUACAAUUCAAGUUUUCAACCACAUGGCUAAAAUGAAGUAUCAAAUAAGUAAUAAAUCACAGUCACGCUCUAACAUAGAAAAUGCAUCAUCCCCGUGUUCCCAGACAAAGAAUAAACCUAUGCCACAAGUAAUUUAAUUUAAUUUUUCUAGAUACUUCAUGUUAUGCCCCUCAAGAGAAUAAGCAACAGGUUAUAUCCUUUCUUAGUUAGAGAAGAAAUAAAUCUAUGUAUAUAGAUUCUGAACUUUACACCACUGUCACCCCAUAACAGACGUAUAAUAUAAGUGGAAAUUAAAUUUUGAAGAAAAACAAUGCGUUACCUGUUUUUCAGCUUCAUUUUCACUGAGUGUGCUUUGAAGCAUUCUCUUUGUCAAACCUAAAUUAAAUUUAAAAAAGUUAAUGACUAAAAAAAUAUGAACAAAACAUGCAGUCAUUUGAUAAUAAUAAUAAAUACAUUGAUAGGAAAAAUAUAUAUCAAAUAGGGAUUGAUAGUUCCAAAAGACUAUCGUCACAUGAGUAGUAAAUGGAAUCACAUUCAUGAGUAGGGACUAGUGGAGAUAUCAAAUUUUCUUUGUGGAAAUAACAGUUCCCAUCAAAUAAUCACUCUAUCAGUCCCUCCCAUUUUGUAUGUCAUCAUCAAUGUAAAAGGCACAAAUUUGAAGAUAAGUUGCCUGAACUUUAGAUAUUAUACUUUUAAUAUAAAUUUCUUUCCCAAAACUACACUGUUGAUACUAUAUAACUUUUGGGGGGAAACUAUAUUAAAAGACAUAACCUCUGAAUAACCUUCUGAUUAAUGGACAUACUAUAUUAAUUGUUGCUGCUGCUGAUCAACUUACAACACAACACCCACCCAUCCUUCAUGUCAUCCAUAACCUUAAUUGCAUCAAUUAACCUCCCUUGCUUACAAAACCCAUCCAUCAAAAUUGUAUAUUUCGUUGCAUCUGGAAUCCACCCUCUGUCAAGAAUUUCAUCAAAUAUCUUCUUUGCACCAAUCAUAUCACCCCUAGACACAUAACCCAACAAUAUGGUAGUAUAACUCACCACAUGGCACCAUACCCAUUGUUGGCAUUUCGUCUAACACUUUAAGGCACCUUCAAUAUCAUUGUUUUUACAAAGACCUUUGAGUAAAAUGUUGUAAGUAAAAACAUUAGGUAUUAUGUUGGAACUUCUUUUUACAAUGUUCAAACAAUAUAUGCACCAAAUUAUACUGUUUGUUCUGAAUCAAAGCGUUUAACAAAGUAUUAAAUGACCUUACUGAGGUUUCAACGCCGAAUUCUUUGACCCGUAAGAAGGUUUGGAGGGCUUGUUUGGGGCGACUGGCGAUUCCGUAGUUUCGAAUUACGACUAUAAAUAGAUUUUCGCCGCGUUUACUGUCCGAUUGCUGUAAUUGGGCGAGAAGAGUUUCCAUCGGCUCGAAUGCGGGAACUCGAGUGAGCUUGUUGAUGAUGGCGUGGUAGGUGUCAUAAUUAUGCUGUAAAUUGGGGUAGAAUUUUCCGACGUGGUCAAAGAUUUGGAGGGAAAGAUCAAGGUUUUGUUGGCUGGUGAUGAUGGAGACGAGGCGUUUGGGGGAGUGAUUGUGUAGGAUUUAAGGAGUUGGUCUUUGAAUUUUAUGGCGGAGAGGUGGUGGUGUGAGGGGUGGGCGAUGAAAGGGUCCGUGGUGGAGGCGGUGGUGGUGAGGUGGAGGUGGAGGUGGUGGUGGAAAUGAAAUGGCCGGUGAAUUGACAUGUUGAGGAAAGUGGCGGACUUGAGUGAGAAAAAGAUGAGACAGUGAGAAUUUAAUUAUGACCAUCAGAUCUGUUUUAAAAGAUCUAACAGCCCAAAAUUUAUCGUAUGGUACAAUAUGUACAUGUUCUCCCCCUCAAUCCCCGUUGAUCUCUUUGGACUAGCAAAUCAUACUACUCGAGAAUAUCCCGUAUAAAUUAUUGCCCACUCCUAUACGCACCAUCCUUUUCAGCAACAGUGUUUUAUUGGUCACCUCCCUAUCAUCACAGUAUCUUUCUUCUCUCUUAUUAAAUUGAAAUCAACGGUUAUAUUUCGUUUGUGGCAGGACCAAUUUCAACGCUUUCGUAGCUACAUCACUCCCCUUGCAUCUCAUUACUACCGGUACAUUCUAGUAUCAAGGUAUCAGGCUAUCAGCUUCUUCUUCAUUAGAGAGAAGCAAGCAAAGAAUCAAACUCAGAAGUAAUGGAGAAUUUAUGGCAAAAGGCAAAGAUAUUUGCAGAAGAAGCAGCCAAGAGAUCUCAAGCCCUAACCCUAACCACUUCUCCGGCGAAGAUCGCCGACAUUGUCUCUGAAACCGCUAAGCGAUCUAAAGACUUUGCACUCGAGGCCUCUAAGAAAGCCGAUGAGCUUAAAACUGUUGCCGAUCAACACAUCAAGUCUCUCGCCGAUCAAAUUCCCUCACUUUCACUCACUACUAAUUCUACUUCUUCUUCCGAUUCAGUGUCCGACUCCGACCUCCAAAGCUUCGGUAUCACGGAGGAUCUCAAACAGUUCGUUAAGGGACUUACCACACUCACAUUCCAGAGUUUUCCUAUUCAAGGUUUUCUUUAAGUCUAUCUAGAUUUUGGCUUCAUUCGUUUAAAUUGCCUUGGUUGAGAUGAUUUUAAUUGCUUUCUUAAUCUCUUGUUUGUUUCAGUGGAUUUUCUUUUCCUUGAAUCUUUAAAUUGCCUUGGUUGAGAUGCUUUUAAUUGUUUUGUUAAUUUCUUGUUUGUUUCAUUGGAUUUUCGUUUCCUCGGAUUCCCUAGAUCUUAGUUUAAGUUUAGACAUAUUUCAGCCAAGAUUACUUGAAACUCCAACAAAUUUGAUUUAGCUUUGGCAAUGUUUAAAUAAGCUAAGGUUUCUGGUUGAAAUAUGAGAUUCCUGUUAUGCCUUGAUUUAAAUGGUAGUAUCUGCUAAGUAUGUUCUAUUAAUAGUUAUCUUUGGUGAAGUUAACUGAGUUAUAAGUUCUGGACAAGGUAAUUUAAGGGACUUGGUAUUACAGCCCUGGGAAAUGGGGAAAUUUUUCUUUCUCUUUGUUGAUUUAAAUUCUUAUCAUCUCUCUUCAGUUAGAUAAUAAUUCUUGUUUCCUGGACGUGUAGAUGAUAUACAAGGAUCUGAUGUGGCUACAUUCUCUAAUGUCCGACAAGAUCUCUCUGAGUGGCAGCAGAAACAUGCCACCCUUGUUCUCACUACUGUUAAGGUAAUUUUUUCUUGUCUUUGUUUCAACUUGAACUCCUCAAGGGCCUUGCUUAGCAGUUGGAAGAAAUGAAAGUAGGAUAUCUUACUAGUUGUUAGAUCACACACAAUCUUCUCUAUGCUUGUGUGCUUUAUGGGACCUAAGAAGUACAUUAGAUGUUUUGAGCAAAAAGGCACACAUUUGAAAAAAUGACCGUCUCAUAAUAUUCAACAGCAUUUUUUUGUCCAGUGCAACAGAAUAGAAAUAAUGAAUUUUUCAAAUGAUAGAGGCAUACUGCAUGACGGGGCAAAUUGUGCAUCUCAAUUAAGAGAGUUCAUAUAUUCUGUUACUGGGAUUAUCUACUUACAGCUUAUGACACCAAAGCUGAAUAUUUCCUUUUUAUCUCCUUUGACGAUUUUAGUUUUCCCUUGUUGGGAGGCUGUAGAAUCAAAAUUUCCUAUGCCUUUUAUCCAUUUUAGUGAGUCUUAUAAAUUAUAAAAGUAGAUUUGUAAAUCCAAUUAAAUGUGAUUUACUAGUCAAAUGGUCCUAUGCAAACUCCAUACAUCAAGUUUUUAAUUUUUACCCUAAAAUUAAUUAAUUGAAGUUGAGAAAAAUACACGCUUUUUUCUUUAAAACUCUGGGCGUGAUUCUAAUUUGCACGUCACAAAAAUGUUCAUGUAUUUUGGAGUUCUAAAUUAGAAAGCAUAAACUAGUCGUCACAUGAAACUAUACUGUCUACAAUGUUUCUCAUGGCUGUGAUGUUUCAGGAAAUAUCGAGGUUAAGAUAUGAAUUGUGCCCACGACAUAUGAAAGAUCGGAGAUUCUGGCAGAUAUAUUUUACACUUGUGAACAGUCAUGUGGCUCCGUAAGUAACGCUCAGUUUUUAAUUUUCACUUUUUCUCUUAGUUAUGGUAAAUGCUAGGGAGAGCGAUAAAUGGCAAUACUGACUGCUUUUAAUUUCUGGACCGCAUUCACUUGUCCAAUUUUUAGACAUAUGAAAACUUGGUAACUAAUCAUUAAAUUAUGGUUAAAGAAAGAUACUUGAGUAGUAACUAAGGAUUGUUUUGAAGAAUUUUUAUUCUUUAGAAAAAAGUUUUCACUAAAAUCAGCAUCAGCGUGUUAGUCAUCUACACUGAGCGUAAUCCGGUAAGUGUUUCGCUGGACUAGUGAGAAUUUUGUAGUCCAUACGGAACAGCUCUAUGCACAAAAUCAAGAAAAGAGUAGACUAGUUUAAAACAUGAAUGAUCUGAAACCUAUAAGUGAGAGUGAGAUCAAUCUGCAAGGCUUGGCAUUCCUUUGAGACCACAAAAAGAAGCUUCCUGUUCAAAGAAGCUAUCUCUAUGAACCCUGAUAUUAUUAAUCCCAUGAAGGCAUGUACAUCUUAUCAUAAAAAACAUUAAGAAGUCAAGAUAUAAUAGUAGGCAUUUUGUUGAAAAUAUCCAUGAUCUGUUCUAAAUUCAUUUCUUUAUUGGACACAUCCAGGUCCGAGAAGAACUACGGGGAGAAGAAUAAGCUAAAAGAAGCAGAGAACAUUAAAGAUGGCAAACUUGAGCAAACUCCAACAGUUGGAUCAGAAGGAAAGGGAACAAGCCUGAAAAGUAAGACUUCAAGUUUAUCUGCGGAGCAGGAUUUAGACACAUUUCUUUUGGGGGAUCUUGAUGACAGUGAUGUGGAGCCAGCAGGUACAUUAGAUAGGCAACUUCGUGAAAUUACACUGGAAUCCUUCAGCUCAUAUCCUGAUGACAGUGAUGUCAUUAGUAUGUUUUAACUUAUAUAGCUGUUUGUAUAAUGAAAUUACACUGGAAUCCUUCAGCUCAUAUCCUUGUGUGACUGUGUUCAUAGUUUUUGGAUAAAAGAUGCAUUUAAAUGUACACACUCAUGGCUGCCGCACUCAACUUAAAAAACGAGUCAUAUGGUAUUGUCACUUGAGAAGGGAUUUAUUUUAGAAUUCCAUGGAAACAUAUGUUAUGUUCAUAGAGAUUUCUACUUGGUUCUCAAUUAUCAAGAUGGCAUGAUUUGAAGAAAAUAUUAUACCUAAUUGGGUUUUAUCAGAUUUGUUUAAAAAUGUUGUGUACUGCUCAUUAACUUUCCAAUGCUACUGCUGACAACUGAAGUUCUAAUGAAUGUAGUCUUUGUUAUCAUCAGGGUUUGUAUACUAAUUUUGUGCGACUAUUUGUGUGCAUUAUGCCCAAAUAUUUGGAUUAUAUGGGUAAUUUUCCAAGCCACUCCACCAAGCAUUGCUUGACAAUAUGCUAAAUUACUAGUUCUUUCUUUCUUUCUUUUGCUGAUUGUUAAAAUACAUUUUCUUAUGCACUUAGUUUUAUGAGUUCGAACUAAUUGAUACAAAUUGCAGAAAACCAGUAGGUAAUUGCUAGAUUUGUUUUUGUUGUCUUUUUUAUUGUUGGCAGUUUUUAUAUUGGAAUGCUCUUGGCCUUAAGUUGCUCAUUAACAAGUGUUUUUAUUUUUACCAGAUGAUGAUGAGAAUUUUGAUGAUGAUUUUGACAAGAUUGACAAUUUGGUAAGAACAAAUUAUCUUCCCAAAUAUUCCUUAAAGCUCCAUAAAGCUCCACUUUUCAUUCUGCUUUGUGCUGCUCAAUUUCUUGAUACAUUAAUUAAAAUCCUCUGGAGGGGUGACGACAAUAGCAGGAAUUCUAGUGUGUGCAACAACUAAGCACGGUUAUGUGGUAUUUUGGAGAACUGAUGGGAUUUUAUGCUUGCAGGGCGUUGAAGAUGAAACAUAGCCGAAUAAGAUGAUGACAGAGGCAGGUUAGAGGGCUAUGCAGUGUUUGAGCAAUUGAAGUCGUACGCGUAUCUGUUAGGUGGAGAGGACAAGUGAAGAAGAGUACUAGUAUAUUUUCUGUGAUACAUACAUACGGUGAUGUAUAGGAGGAGUUGGAAGGUUUACUUUGGCAAUAUAAAGGCCCAUCGUUUAUGGUAGAUCGGGAAAAAAAAUAGGUUUGGGUCGCAUAAAAUAGGUUUGGGUUGGUUUUGGAACCAAAAUCAUAUUACCUAUAUUUAAUAUCAGUUUAUGUGGUUUAGAUUUAAAUGGUUAUGGGUCGAAUCCAUGUUGACCUAUUUUUUUAAAUUAUAGUUUCAUUGAAAUCUUAAUUUCUGUUAUACUAAAAGAGUUUUAAUUUUGGUGGGCGGUGGGCGGUGGGCGGUGGGAGAAAUUAAAUUAUAUAGUAUAAUAUAAAAUAAUUUAUGGAGAGAGAGGAUAUUAAAUAUAAUUGUAUAAUUUAAAUGAGUUAUUUUAAUUAAUUAAGAGAGGAGAUAUUAAUUAUUUAAAUUAGUAGUUCGUUAUACUAAAAGUGUUAACUUAUUAUGGAUUAAUUUCAUAAUUAGUAAAAUGAUUUUUAUACAUAAUUACAAAUAUAUAAAUUACAAAAAUAUGUAAUAUGUAUAUAAUGUAAUAUGUAUAAUGUAUAUGUGUUAUAUAAGAAUGUAGUGUAAUAAUGCAUACAUAUUGAUAUAUUAACUCUACAAAGUGCAAAAAAUUAUUAUAGAUGGGUCAAAAUUAGAUCCAAUCUAUAUUUGUAAUAAUAAUAUGAGUCAAUUACUUAAAAAUUAGUUAACCAAUCUAAUAAAUUUAAGUAGUUUUGAUUAAUUAUUUAAUUUUCAACUUAAAUCGUUAGCUCUAAUUUAUGGUAUGGUUAGGUUAUGUUUCAUUUUAUCUUUGCUUGUACUAUUAAAAACUAUGGUUUGUACAGUUGCUGUAAUUUUAAAGCCAAAUUACGGGGUAGAACAAAAAAAAUUAUUUGAUGAACAUUAAAGCUUUACCAAUUUUUUGUAUGAUCAUAAAAUAAGAAUAUCUAUGCCUUAGUUGCAGCUACAAAUUACUGAUAAUCUUUUUUUUGGGUACAAAUUUAUUGAUACUUUUAUGCAUGUGUCAAUAAACUCAGUUACCAACUUGCGCUCAUUGAUGUUCGGGAUCUACGACUCAUUCGGAAUCAUCAUUUGAACCACUGCGCCAACUACUAGAGUAUCUAACAAUUAAUACUUUAAGAGGAAUUCGUCAUAUUAAAAAUAAAAAAGAUGAAUUAUGUAUAAAAAAUAUGACAAUCUCUCUUAAUAAUAAAAAUACUAUUCACUAUGCCUCUAAUUUUUUAAGUAAUAAUUAGUAGCGUUUAGGAUAUGACUUUAAUAAAUAAAGUUAAAUAUUUACCCUCAUAUUUUAUAUUUUUAUCUCGGUAAUGAUAUCAUAUAUUUGCUAUGACAUAUAUAUCAUUUCUACCAUUUAAUAUUACGUCUGUUACUAAUAAUAGCAGACGUAAAUUUUUUUCGUUUUAAUUUUGGCCGUUGAUUUUUGUAUUGGACAUUCAUUGAAAAUACUCCCUCCCCUUCCUAAAAGAUUGUCGUUUAAGUUUUUGGCACAUGGAUUAAUGAAAUGUCAUUUACCAAGUAAAUUGUUUGAAAUUCCAUUACUACCCCUUUAUGGGAAAAUUGAAAACUAUUAAUACAAAUGAGAGAAUUUUUUGGGACAAUGAGAGAAUGUAGGAGUAGUAUAAGAAAUUAAAUAAUUUAUUCACCUCGAAAGUUGUAAACGACAAACUUUUUGGAAUAAUUUUUUUUUCUCUAAAACGACAAUCUUUUAGUAACGCAGGAGUACUCGCUAUGGAUCAUUUCUUUUAUCUUUAAAAUAAAAAAGAAAAAGAAAAAGAAAAGAAAAAGACUAAAAUGCCCAUAGUAAGCCUGCUAAUUAGAUAAACGCCAUUACCACUCAACUAGAAUUAAGAACCUGAUAUAUAUUACCACAAAUAUUUGACAAACUUAAAUUCUGAAUAAAAUAAAUUAAAAUGCAACAAUAAUUGAUUUUUACUCGAAAUCAUAGUUGGCCAAAAACUUUGAUAAUGUCCAGCAAGACUCCUAUAAUUACAUACCCAGAAACGGAGCCAUCGCGCUCCACAGUCCACCCAACUCUCCAUGAUUUCUGCGGCGGCCGUCGUCUUAAUUGGCGGAAGGUCAAUCAGACUGACCCAACUGUCCUCCAUUAAACUUUUAAUUCCCAACAUAUCCUCUCCUCUCUUCUUCUCUUCCCUCUGCAAAGGCCGACCACUCUCUCAAACAGUUCCACCACCAGUCCCCAAAAAAGUGCCCUUUACCGUUUCAGCUCAUGGAAUCAAGUGGCAAGACCCAUACCAUUGGAUGCGAAAAACGGACGAGCCUGAUUUCAUCAACUACCUCCACCAAGAAAACUCUUAUGCAGAAGCUUUCAUGGCCGACACAAACAACCUCCAACAGACUCUCUUUUCUGAGAUGACCAGCCGAAUACCCUCCAAGAUUUCCACUCCCCCUGAACGCUUCGGUCCCUGGUCUGUUCUUUUAUUUAUAUACAAAAAUUUGUUGCUUUUAGGCUUAAGUUGAGUGGGUAGUUUAUGAAAUGUUUAGUAUUGCUUAUUGUUGGCACAUUGUGGUUGUAGAUGCAACUCAGUGCUCUGCUAUGUGUUGCAUGAAAUUUAUGAAUGAAAAUGUGCAAUUGUUAAUGCGUGAUUAUAUAUUUUUUGUGAUUAAAAUAUAUUUACCUAUGUUUGUGUUUCAUGAUUACAAUGUACUGAGAUUGUUAAUGGAGUUUGAACGGGUUGUAGUCAAUUAUAUUGGGGAAUGCAUUUAACCAUAUAUGCAGUUUAUGAUUAUUCAUGUACUGAGAUUGCUGAUUUUGAGAUUUUCUAAUAUUAAUUGAGUUUGAACAGGUUGUACUACCAAUAUAUUCCGGAGGAUAAGGAAUACCCAGUUUUAUGUAGGAAACUAACAACUGAGAGGAAAGGUUGGGUGGAGACCGUAGUCAAUUACGUGAGGGGAGGAUCAGGGAAGGAGGAAAUUUUGCUUGAUUGGAAUGAAAUUGCGAAACAAUAUGGUAGGUUUCUUCUUGUGGAUGGUGGGAGAAUAGUUAUGCUUUAUUUAAGUUAGUGUUUUCUUGUUAUAAUACACUCACACAUACAUAAAUAUAUAUCCUCCUCCCUCGGUUCCACAAAAAGAGCCCCAUUUGAUGUUGAUCCUAGGUCAUUUGGGAAAAUUGUGAUGUGAAUUUAUUGUAAUUUUUGAAAUCAUAAUUUGUAAUUUGUAAUACUUUUUAAGUAUUUAUACUAUUAACCAUUUCAUUAAUCAAAAUCAAUUAAAUUCACGUCAAUUUUGAAUUUUGGGAUUUCUCGCAAAUUGAUUAGGAUUUUUUUAUUUUAAAAUGAGACUCUUUUUGUGUAUAAGAGGGAUAAUAUCUGCUUUUCAUUUCUUUCCUUUCCCUGUGUUUUCCAAGUCUCAGACGUGCCAAAAUGUGCUUGAGGUACUUUUUCUCACUUAUCAAAAUUUCAAGGGAAAUUCGAUUGCUUGAAAGGUUAUGAAAGUCAAUACUGAUACUGCUAAUUUUGAUUGUAUACACAUGCUGAUGUACUUGAAGUAAUGUAUUCAUUCUUGCGUUGCGUAUUAUAUGAGAAGUCAACUUUCUGUAUCCACUGCAUGUGCGUUUAAUAGUUUCACCACGGAGAGUUUGCUAGUAGGGUUUGAAUGUAUUGUUAUAAUAAGUUGCGCUUUGGUUUAGGUUUUAUCCUUGUAUGAUUGCAUAGACAUAAUUUUUAUCUUUUUCAAAUAAAAAAAAUAAAAAAAGUUGUAUUCAUAUGCUUGUAUGCUUGAUUUUUUUGUUCUGGAUAUGUCCAUGUUCAGACCAAGAAAUUUCUUACUUCCACUCAGUACUUAUUACCUGUAUUUUUUUAAUAUUAAGUUUCCAUAGUUGGAUCCUUUAAUUGUCCUCAAUGGCAGGGUAUGUUCAUGUGGGUGCAUGUCGAGUAUCACCAGACCACAGUUUUCUUGCUUACACACUUGAUAUUACUGGUGGCGAACAGUUCAUGUUACAAAUUAAGGACCUCAGAAGUGGUAUUCUUCAGGACCUAAGAGUUGCCGGAGUUGUUAGCUUAGCGUGGGCUCAAGAUGGUUGUACUUUGUUCUAUACCAUAUCUGAUGAUACCCAACGGCCUUACAGGCAAACAUUUUCUUACUAGUUCAUUGCGUCUUUCACUUGGGAGUUUGUAUAAAUCUAACUAAUUAUUAGUUGGGCAGGGUACAGUACACUAAACUGGGACCAGAUCCUAUGAAUGAUAUCCCAUUAUAUACAGAAAUGGACUCCAGCUUCUGUGUGGACAUCACGAGUACGAAGGAUGAAAAGUUUAUUACUGUGAAUUCAAACUCAAGAACUUCAUCUGAGGAAGGAACUUACCUAUGCCACAUGCCAUUAUUGUAUUCCCUAUUAUUUGUAGAAGAAUAUCUUUAUGGUUGGUUUUACUUACAGCUAGGUUGUUUCGUUUCAGGUUUAUGUCAUAGAUGCAAACAAUCCACAAGAUGGCUUACAAAUGAUUCACAAGCGUGUCCCUGGUGUACAAUACUUUUUGGAACAUCACUAUGGCUUUUUCUAUGCCCUUACAAAUGUGCCUUUGAGUGAUGAUAAUGGAUUGUCUAGCGGAAAUUAUUAUUUGACUAGACGUCGAGUUCAAGAUAUAAAGUCAGCUAAUUGGGAGGUAAAUUUUAUUUACAUGGUCAGGCAUUUUUUAUAAUUUAACUUUCACUUUUGCCUUAAGCUCUAGGUUGUACAAGGUACAAACAUAGUGCUGCAAGGAACUUUGAGUAUAUUGUUAACAAAAAAAAGGUGGAACUUUGAGUAUGUUGGUCUGCUUCUGAAUAUUAUUUGUGCAACUCUCUUUCAUUAUGUUUCCAAUACCUCGUGACAAACACUGCAAGUUGUUGCUUAUUAGUUAUAACUCCCUCUGCUCCUCCUUUUCAUUUGCUUGAUGAACUAAAAAAUCAGGAGAGCAAACCUUCAACGAGGUUUGUGAGGAUCAAAUACUCCGCAUGAAGUAGCUAGUCUGUGCUUCUUUUUAUUGCAUAACAUGGAAUAAGAGAAUGUGAGAGCCACAACUCAGUUGAUACUAUUGUCCUACAUAAACUUCAAUCCAAAAAACCGUAUCCACUUAGUUGCAGUUAAGGCUUCAGAAAUGACCUGGAUCUAAAUUUUUGUAACUAUAAUUAUAUUGGUCUCCCAACUCCAAGGGGUGGGAGAAAUGACAGAGGCUUGAAGAAUAGCCUCAAAGUCGCUGAUUCCAAUCCCUAUACUUGGGAUCAAAAUUACCAAUCAAAAUAAUAAUAAUAAUAUUAAUAAAUUUGUCACCUCAGUUGGUGAAACGUUAUUAAAGGUUUCUUUCUCUCCACUAAUCUCUCUCUCUCUCCCUUGUCAGUUUUUCUCCCUCAAUUCCCCUCUCCCUUAUUAUUACAAGGCAAAAUGGAGCUGCCUAUCUUAUCCAUUUCUUAUUUUCAAUUACUUUUGUUUUCUCUUACUAGAAUAUCAUACUACCAAGUGAAGAUACCAGCAUACAGGACAUGGACAUUUUUAAUGAACAUCUGGUGCUUUUUCUUAACAGAAAGGGUUCCCCUGUAAUAUGUGCCAUCACGAUGCCUAUUGAUGGAAGUUGUAUGGUAUAAUUCUCUGAUACUGUUAGUAUUUACUUGUUUUAUAUAAUUUGAGUUUGCUUAUUUGUCUUAUUUUGUUCUACAGAAAGAAAUGGAGAUUGAUGAUCUCAAUCCGUGGUAUUUCCCUCUGCCGUCGAAUUCCUGUGGAAUUGUUCCUGGUUCAAAUCAUGACUUUAUGAGCUCCCGGUAUCGCGCCAUCCUCUCAUCUCCAGUGGUAUGAAUUCUAAUGGGAUGUACAUUCUGGUUAUUUGAUUAAUCUGAACUUAAUAGUCCGCUUUCCUCUACCCCUCACACCCCUCCCCCCUCCGGGGAAAAAAAGUUUAUCAAAAAUAUGGAUUAAAUUUAACAGCAUCCCAAGUACUUAGAAGAAAUGAUGAAGCUCAGAAUAAAUUUAUAUUUUUCUUAUACGAGUAGGUGAUGGGUGAUGAGCCUGAAUGCAAUCAGAUUAAGUCCGAAAUACAAAGAUCUUAUUAUAUUGAUUUUUUGCAAUAAUCCUGAAAUAUUGAUUCCCGACCAAGGAAAGGUAAAUUUUCCUGCAAGAUGAUGCUCAUACCAUGAGCAAUGUGGCUCCUAAUUAAGCAAGCUAGAAAAAAUACAUUAACUAAAGGAAAACCACAAACUCAUGUAACAGGAAAAAUAACACCCCAAACUUCUCUUUCUAUGAAUAUGGCAUUAUACAAAAGUAAUGUAGUUGGCAAUAAGGUAAACUUGGGAACCAAGUUUGACUAAUGAAUUAGAGUUAAAAAUCAACCUUGUUGGAUUGAGUAAGUAGGCAUUUGGUGAAUCGCUGCUGUGAGGUGAAAUACUUUUACUAGUAGCACCACGAGAAAAAAUUGAAGGACCUCUGCAUUGAGGUGACUUUUACUAGUAGUUUGAGGAAAAAGUGUUGUUAAUACAAAACUGCAAUAGUGUUUGGUAUAGAAUUUUAGAAGCAGUUUAUAGAGAUAUUUUAGCUUGUUAAGUUUAAAUUCAAACACAGUUCAAAAGGACCCAAUUAUAGCUUCUUCCUAAAGUGAUUUAGCAUCCCAACACUCUACAGCUAAAAGUACUUUUGUAAUAUUGUUAAUUACCAAAUAGGCAAAUACUCCUAACCACAAAAUUUGAUUUAAAAGUGUUUUAAGCCCACCUCACUGCUGAACGGACACCAAGUAUGUAGAUCCUACUUAAGACACAUACCUAAAAUAAGCAUGUUGUACAAGCUCGUUAACUCAACAAAGAUCUUUACCUAUUUGAAGCGUAGUAUUCCCUAAUUGCUAAUAUAUUAGUUAAGAAAUAAGUCCCUUAAACCUAUUUUUGAUAAAAAUUUAACUUAUUCCUCUUUGACAAGAGUUGAUCUUAUAUUUUGCUUGCAUCAGUUAUGCAAGGUUGAUUAUUUGAAGACAGAUUUCUGGAUUCUUUAGUGAGGGUUAUGUUUGAGUGAUUUUUUUUUUUAUUUAUUAUUAUUGAAUAAAAAAAUUCCUUUUGAAAAACGUUGAUUAUUGAAAGGUUUUGUAUAUGGAUGUUGGAUGAUGAGUGGGGUUUGUGGAUUGGGAACUUGUAUUUAGUUCCUCUUUGGUGUAAAUUGGAUGAGUUGGUUGUAAACAUAUUUGGGGUUGAAUUAAUUUCUCUCAUCUCCACUGGUCAGGGACACAUAGCCUAAGUUCUUGUUUUCUCUUUUUCAAGCAGCAAGUGGGGUUUGUCCAAAAGUUAACAUUUGCAGUUAUUCUUUUGUUUUAUUUGUUUGUUGGCUCUUCUCAAUGUUUUUCCUCUCUGUUUUAAUCAAAUGAAGAUGCUGUUUAGUUUCACAGUUUUCAACUCAUUCAUAGGUUAUCUCCUCUGGCUGUUCUCGAGUUUUUUUCGCUUCUUGGCAGUCCUAGGUGGAGCUGCUUUCCGUCAUAGUUGUCCCUGUUGGCCUAGUAGUUCCUUAGUCUUGUAACUCAGCUCUUCGAACCUUAGGACAAACAACUUUGAGAACGGCACUUCAAGUCGAUUUCUUCUAACUCAAUUCCCUUAAGUGAGGUCGGGACUCUGUUUCUUCUCUAGCUGGCAUUUUGGUCUGUUUCCAUGAGUGUUGUUGCUUUCAACCGGCCGAUAGCCCCCUGUGACAGAAUCCCAAACAGUAGCCCCGAAGUUCUAUUUUGGGAUUAAAUCGUGUUCUCCUUUAAUCCUAAACAAUGCAAUGAAUAUAAGAAAGUGACUUGGCUGAGUUAUAAUGAUUUACCUAUUAUCCUUGUCAUUGCGAUACAUUGUUGGAUGUAAUUGUCGACUCUGACUGAGUAAUCUAAUUUGAAUUCUACAUGAGAGUUGUGUCCCUCAUACAUAGUUUUGUUUUGUCAAGUGCAGAUACCUGAUUUAAUUGUCGACUAUGACAUGUUUAGACGUACUUUUUCCAUAGUGCAUCAAGACGAAGUACUUGGUAUUUCCCCUAAUUCUGGGUCACGCUCAAUGACUUGCGAAGGAGAGAGUUAUGAAUUUCCAAACCUCCAAAGUGACAAGGACAAAGAUGUCAUAUAUAAUGAAAUGCAGGGAUGGAGGAAUUUCUGUGAUGCAUAUUGUUGUGAAAUAAAGGAAGUCGUUUCCCGCGAUGGUACCAGAAUUCCUCUGACCAUCUUGUACUCUCGGAAAGCACAUCAAAAGGCUCAAUCUCCUGGAAUUCUACAAGGCUAUGGAGCAUAUGGGGAAGUGCUUGAUAAAAGCUGGUGUGCAGACCGACUAAGUUUACUUGAUCGGGGUUGGGUAGUUGCAUUUGCUGAUGUAAGGUAUAUCUCAAGUUUGUUAUAUUAUGGCCAUUAUCCACUGCAAAUUGUAAUUUGGAACUGAGUAGAACAAUACAACCAAGUCGAAUAGUUAAUGUUGGAUUUUGUUUCAAUAGUUAGAUAAUAUCCUCUUUUAUGAAUUCAGACAUGCAUACGAACUCUGGCCCUAAAAAUAGAAGGUUCAUUUAAUUUAAAGCCGAUAAUAGUCUUAACUCACUUAUAAUUAAAGAUACCUUGUAGGAUAGGGGACAAAAUAACAACAUGUGUUCUGAGAGCAUAAACAAUAUGCUGGUGUAUUUUAUACUAAUUAUACGGCCCUUGACAAAUUGAAAUGGAGACUGAAAACAUUUGAAGCUAACCCCCAGGCAUAUUAAAGAAAUUGAUGAGUUGUCUCUCUUUCACAACAUGCUAUUCCUUCCAUCCCAAAUAGGGCGUCAUGUUUUCCAUUUUGAAAUGUACCAAAAUGUUCAUCACUUUUUCGAAGCUGGUGGAAAUUUAAAUAAAUGGACGGUAUUGUCCUCUUAGAGAUAAAUAUAUGUUUACCCACAAUAUAUUGCAAAACCAAUGCAAUUUUAUUAUUGGAUAUAAAAGGAACAAGUUUGGUCAAAUUUUUUCAUUUUCUUUUAAACUAUUUUCCAUAUUGACCAUGACUAUUUGGGACAUGAAUUUAUUGUAACUUGAGCUGCACCAAGUUCUUUCCAACUGCUUCAUCUUCACACAUCUAUGUCCACCUAGGUUAAUACUGACAUAUAGUGGACAUUCUCUGCGUAUUUUAUCUUUUGAAUUGAAAUAUGCUGGCUAUUGUAAAUGCUAUCUGUUGGUUCCCUAUGCUGGAAAGCUAUAUUGACAUCAUGAGUAUCGAAAACUAGUAAUUUGACUGCUGUGGCUUGUUUUGUAUGGACAGAGGUGGUGGUGGUGUUGAUCCUUCUUGGCAUAGAUCUGGGAGGGGAUUGUACAAAUCAAACUCUAUAUUUGAUUUUGUGUCAUGCGGGGAAUACCUGAUUAAUGAGGGUUAUGUCCAUAAGUGUCGGCUUGGUGCUGUUGGAUGUAGUGCCGGAUGUCUUCUUGCUGGUGCAGCCUCUAAUAUGUAUCCAGAACUCUUUCAAGCUAUUAUUUUGAAGGUAAGCACCCCUACAGAACUUCAACAACUAUCUCACAUUCUUUUGUCGGAUGGCUAUAGAACUCCUAUGAGUUGUAUCCAAAAAUAUUAAAAAAUUACUGGAGUUGAAGAUAUUUUGAACUCCCACCAAAUCUAGGAAGCAUCUUCACCUCCCUCUUAACAUUGACCUUUCCUACUCAAGAUUGGGAAAGGGAAGCAGUAAGAACAAGUGAUGGUUAUUGUCUAAGAACAUGUUAUGUAUUAGUAGUAAACAAAUUUGCUUUUGGGAUGUCUAGUUUUAAAAUUUAACUUCAGUAACUGCUGUUCUACAAUUUAUUGUCAAAGUAAUGUUAAUAUAUAUUUGUCAGAUUCUUCUUAUUGUGUAAGAAUCUGAGUGCUUGGUUUGUUUGGAGAGUAACGUGACCAUGAUGUUUGUCUCAGGUUCCAUUUCUUGAUAUCUGCAACACAUUACUGGAUCCCAGUUUGCCUCUCACCAUAUUGGACUAUGAAGAAUUUGGAAAUCCUCAGAUACGAUCCCAAUUCCAAUCUAUUUUGAGUUAUUCUCCGUAUGAUAAUGUACCAAGUAAAGUUUGCUGUCCUGCAAUGCUUGUGACGGCAUCCUUCAAUGACUCAAGGUAACUUCAAACAUCUAUAAAUAUACACACACACAUAUGCCAUGCCUUUUUGUCAUUUUAAACCUUGCACAUGCAUGUAGUUGUAUAUUCAUACCUCUGCCUAGAAAUAUACAUAUUUGAAAGCAUAAUCGAAUGGAUACGGAUAGUUUAACCGGUGCGGUGCCAUUUUUCAAUUAUCUCAGAGUUGGAGUUUGGGAAGCUGCAAAAUGGGUGGCCAAAGUACGAGAUAAUGCAUGUCCAAAAUGUUGUCACUCAGUCAUCCUGAAGACAAAUAUGAGUGGUGGACAUUUUGGUGAAGGUGGGCGUUUUGGUCAAUGUGAGGAAUUGGCGUAUGAAUAUGCUUUUCUGAUGAAAGCUAUGGGCCUCUCGGAUAAGGAUUGAAAAAGGAUUUGUACCAAGAUUCUUGUAAAACAUUUUCAAGUGUACUCUUACCUCUCCCGAUGGAAUUAUGAGCUAAACUCUCCAAUGCUUUGAAGCUUGCAGUGCCUCUUAAUUGCUGCAUCAAAAGCUACCAAUAAGCUCGGAGCGAGCUUAGUGGUCUUGCGAACUAGGUACUACAUUAUUUUUGAUUUGUAAUAUUUAUCUUCUUGCGAGCUUAGUCUGUUAUGUUACGUGUGCAGGAGUCCAGAAGUAGCCAAUAGUUGUCCUCCUCCUCCUCCAGGGCCAGGCUAGCCAAGAUUUUGACUUGCUGCUGUAUGGCAUAAAAAAGUAGUGGAUUUCUUUCUUAUUACGCUUGGCUGGUGUAGAAGAAGAAGAGAAGACACUUUCCAUAAUACUCUUAGAAUUCUCGAAUAAAAAUAUUUCUUAUUUAGUGCGUUUAAAUGUGAGAAUUUAUACAUUGUAGUAUUAGUAUAGAAUAUGAAUAACAACUAAAGUUGAUAAACCAACCCCACCUCGUCUUGCUAAUUUAAUAUACCAUCUGUUCAUGUGGAUUUAAUAUACCAAUUAACUAUCUCCUCUCCUGCUUAAUUAAUUACAAUUUUCAAGAAUUGGGCCCCUUCAUUAAACAAACGACCCCAGAGGAAGUAGUCCAAAUCCAUGAUCAUGUAUGUUUAUUUUUCACCCUUUUAGCCCAGCCCACAGAUCUGCACUGCACUAAAAUUGUAGAAAUGGCCACCCCAUCCGUUCGCUACCAGUACCUGUUGGACUCUGACCACGCCACGUCAACACCCUAUCACUUUAUUACACGUCACCCUAUCUCUUUCCCCGCCUUAUCCAACGGUCGUGAUGAUCUCACCCAAUCUCAGAUCCACCGGCUAUAAUUGUGCAUUCUGGACANNNNNNNNNNNNNNNNNNNNNNNNNNNNNNNNNNNNNNNNNNNNNNNNNNNNNNNNNNNNNNNNNNNNNNNNNNNNNNNNNNNNNNNNNNNNNNNNNNNNUUAACUUUUUAUAAAAAGAUAAUAAUAAAAUUUUAUAUAAAUUUUAAUUUUAAAUGAUAGUAUUAAAUAAUUUUUUUAAUUUAUAUUUAUAAAGUUAAAAAUAUAAUUAUUAUGGAACCGGGAGAGUAAUAAGUAUGGAUAGUUUUAGGGAGAGAAAGAUUAUGUUAUUCUAACCAGGGUUAGUUAUCUAACCAGGGUUCACGCGCAACGUUCUUCACUGCAGAUAAACCGGAGUUAAAAAGAACAUUCGACGAGAGUGAGAUAAAAUACAUAUAUAUGUAUAUACAUGGAGAGAGAGAGAGAGAGAGAGGCUUAGCAAGAACGAAGAGAGGGUUUUGUGGCUUCGACAAAAACAUUCAGGGAUCCUGCCACAUCGGAAUCCAGCCCGUUGAACCUUCUUUCUUUCUCUCAUUCCGACCGUUGAUCUGUUUGAAUCUUUAUAUUCGCCGGUUGGCCGACCCUUUUUUCAGAGUUCAAUCUAUCCAGAUCCACCCGACUGGUGAGUUAUUUAUUUUAGACUUUUCAAGUUUGUCAAUGUAUUAUUUUCUAAUCAACUUAAAAUUGUUGCAAUUAGUUAGUUUGCACUAUUCAUGAAGAUCCAAACUUUAUUAUGAAUCACUUACAAUAAUUCAACCCUACCCGGAUUGAUUACGCCGGAAUUGUUUUGGAUUUCCUGAUUUUUGAUUGCUUUUAGGGUCCUUGGAGUAUUUUCAUGUUUGUCCAGCUCAUUUAACAAAUUUGAUAUUCCAUAGGAUGGGUAUUUAAUAUCUACCAAAUUUUGCUAAUAAAAACAUUAACUAGAAUUAAAGUGUUUGUAAUGCACAAAACUUCCACUUCCGUUAACUUUUGUUGGAGUUUAAUAGGUUCAAUGUAUGUAGACAUAUAGUGGAAACCAUGUAUACUGUGUUUAUUAUUUUAUUAAGUUAUCAAAAGUUAAAGCUCGAGGUUGUAAGGAAAAUCUGAACUAUUUGGUGGUAUACAAAUGAGAUGCCAUAACUUAGAAAGUUAUAUAAGGUAUGUAAUGCAGAACACUAACAACUGAACUUUGAAUAGUAUACCCAAUAAUCUGGCAAACUGGUCCAUAUACAAAUUAAUAUAUUAGUGUGUAUUCUUUCCCACAUACCCUGCUGCUUAAUUUGGUUUGAUCUUCUCAUGUGACCAUCUUUUUUGAUGACUAUGGUUUUUUAUUUCUCGACCUUCUGCUUCAGUUGUUCUCUGUAUCAUGUUUGUGAUCCACUUGUAUUAAUUUAUUGCAGAUUAAGGUCUAUUGCUAUAUCACAUUAUCAGAUGGAUUUCUAGAUGUGUUGAUCAAGAUACUACUUUUCUCUGCCUCUAACAUCUGAUUAAUGAUCUUAUGUGAAUCAUACUUUCUCAUACAAUUGCAAUCGUCUUCUGAGUUUGGCACUCUCUUCGGAGUGAGGAAAAAAGUUUCUUCCGCUGCCAUCGCGGUUGCCAGCUGCAGGAACAAACAGACUCUCCCUUCAUUUCAUGUCGCCUAAUUUGGACAGCCCUGUUCAGACACAGAUGGCGGUGACAGUAUUUAGCAACCCACUUGGUGGAGAGUAUCACGGAAACAAUAGGAUGGAAGGGAAGCCUUCUGGAAGGAGACGUGUUUUUGUGCAGACUGAAACUGGUUGUGUAUUAGGGAUGGAUUUGGAUCGGAGCGACAAUGCGCAUACUGUGAAGAGGAGGUUGCAGAUUGCCCUUAAUGUUCCAGUUGAGGAGAGUUCAUUGACAUUUGGUGAUAUGGUCCUUAACAACGACCUGAGUGCCAUUCGAAAUGAUUCUCCUCUUCUUCUUACACGAAAUGUAUUGCACAGAAGUUCUUCAACUCCUUGUCUCUCCCCUAUUGGGAGGGAUCUACAACAGAGGGAUCAGAGUGGGCCUAUCGAGAUCUUGGGGCACUCUAAAAGCUUUAUCAAAACAAAGCAACUUGUCAAGGAAAUUAUCAAGGGGAUGAAGAUUGGGGUUGAUCCGAUUGCUGUUCAUGGCGGACUUGGAGGCGCAUACUAUUUUAGAAACUGUAGAGGUGAAAGUGUUGCCAUUGUAAAGCCAACUGACGAAGAGCCUUUUGCACCAAAUAAUCCUAAAGGUUUUGUGGGGAAAGCUCUCGGGCAACCUGGCUUGAAGCGUUCUGUAAGGGUUGGGGAAACUGGGUUCAGAGAAGUUGCUGCUUAUAUUCUUGAUUAUGAUCACUUUGCUAAUGUACCACCCACUGCAUUGGUGAAGAUCACUCACUCAAUCUUCAAUGUCAAUGACGGUGUUAAUGGAAACAAGCCUCAAAGCAAGAAGAUCGUGAGCAAAAUUGCAUCCUUGCAACAAUUCGUACCCCAUGAUUAUGAUGCCAGUGACUAUGGGACGUCAAGUUUCCCUGUAGCUGCUGUGCAUCGUAUUGGGAUAUUAGAUAUCAGGAUAUUAAACACGGACAGGCAUGCAGGAAACCUUCUGGUCAAGAAGCUUGAUCGUGUUGGGAGGUUUGGUCAAGUGGAACUCAUUCCAAUUGAUCAUGGCCUCUGUUUGCCUGAAAGUUUGGAGGAUCCAUACUAUGAAUGGAUCCAUUGGCCCCAGGCUUCAAUUCCAUUUUCAGAAGAGGAACUUGAAUACAUAGAAAAACUAGAUCCUGUUCGGGAUUCUGAGAUGUUGCGAAGUGAACUUCCCAUGAUCCGGGAGGCUUGUCUCCGAGUCUUGGUUCUCUGCACAAUGUUCCUCAAGGAAGCUGCUGGUUUUGGUCUCUGCCUUGCUGAGAUUGGUGAGAUGAUGAGUAGGGAAUUUCGUGGUGGUGAAGAGGAACCCAGUGAGCUUGAGGUUGUUUGUAUUGAGGCAAGGAGACUGAUGGCUGAGAGGGAGGUUUUAUCGCCUAGGGAUGAAGCAGAAGACAACGGGUUUCAAUUUGAUAUAGAUUCUGAAGAACCCGGAUUUGACUUCACAUCAGAGGAACUCAUUUCUCGAACCCCAAUUCAAUUUGGAUUUGGAGGUGGUUUCAGUGGACGUAAUCCGCUUUCCAAGCUAGAGGAAAGCAUUGAGGAGGAUGAGAAGGAAACUGAAGGGGAAGUAGAAGACAAGGGAUCCAUAGCCGUAGGACUUCCGGGCCCUGCAAAGAUGCCUACUGUUUCCAAGCUAUCCAUGUCACUCAAGAACACCAGUUUAGAUGAGAAGCUUAAGUACCGGAAAAUUUCAGGAACUAGGCUAGAAUAUGGUUAUCCGGCAAACUCAUCAUCUGGACACAAGAGUGCGCAUGAUCAGCUUCCCGCCAGUGCUAGCUUUGUAAAGUUUUCAGACAUGAAUGAGGAAGAAUGGGUGCUGUUCUUAGAGAAGUUCCAAGAGCUGCUGUACCCGGCGUUUACUCAGCGGAAGUCUGUGACCCUCGGGCAGAGACAGAGACAGAGGCUUGGGACUUCGUGCCGGUUUUGAGAUCGACUAUAUGUUGCUAUUAGAGAUGACUGAAAUAAAACUGCAGACUUGUGAGAGUGAAGGAUUCAUAGGUUAGGAUUUGAUUGCUAUUGGCUUUCUUCACUGAAGGUUACUGUAGUUGGGACUUUGGUGGUAGUAGCAGUAGGAAAAAUGCUUGUAAAUAUUUUGAAGGCAGCUAAGUGAAAGGCUCGAGCAGAAGGUAGUAAUUUUUCUAUUUAACUUCAAUUUUUUCUUUGGACUCUUUCUGGACUUGUUUGAACAAUAAUUUGUAGAAUGAAAUCCAAAAAUAGUGAAAAAAAGUGUUUGUACAUAUUGAAUAUUAUGCUUCUAAGACUCUUUUUGAAUUGAAACUAUUACUAGUAUUUAUUGGAUUAGCUUGAGUUGCAAUGGUGCUACACUACAAGUCUACAUGGAUGGUAUAUUCUUAUUAAAUUAAUACUAAAAAGAUUAUGUAAAAGGUGUCAUAUAGAAGUUUUAAUUUAUGUGAAAAUUUUCAACAAUAAAUGAGAUAUUUUUCUUCUUCUUCUUUGGUGUUGGGUUAGUUUUAGAGAGGUGGUUUUUUGGAUUUAAAUUCGGGACCAGCGAAGCGAGCGCUUGGUCAUCAUGUCAAGUAGGAUCUCAUUUUCAGGCAUAGGUAGUAUGAUAUGAAUUAUUGGUUCCUAUAAAAUAAAAGUGGGUUUAACUUGAUCUCAAUAGCAAGACAAGGAUUUGUAGCAUCAUCCUUUGUUGUUGUAAAGAUUGACAUUCGUUCUAAAUGGUUUUAAUUAAGUGAUGGAUUUUAUUAAGGUACUAAUUCAAUCACGUGUUGCCAAAAUAAUAUUCAACAAAAACAUGAGGUUUAAAUAUGCAGAGCUGGCAAGGAUCAACAGAUGAAACAACUCAAAGGCCUUCCUUUAUGGCUAAAUUAUGCACCCUUUAGGACUAUAACAACGAGGAUUGUAUAUAAAUAAAUCGGUUACACGAAAGGUUCAUCAGGUGAACUGUCUGUCAAGCUGACAACAUGUCCAAGUCUUGCAGAAUGAUUACAGUUUUGUAGCAAUUCUGCAUGAUCCUCAACACAAUGAACAAUUAGAUUAGAUUAACUAAAUCUUUCAUUCACUAAUCAACCUUCUGCCAGACUUGCUUCCCUUUCCACCUGCUUUCUCAGCUGAUCUAAAAUUAAUAUACAACGCCCCUUCACUCACAAGGGAAUCUAUCUGAUGGCAAGUGUAUUAGUGAACACCUUGUCGUGUAAAGUCCUCCUGCUUCUCUAAAUCUGCACAAGUAACCAAAAAGUAUUUGCUUUCUCAGUUCAAAAUAUAAGGCAAAAAAACGUAACUGGAUCCUAAAUUCUGACAACAUGGAAAAUUGAUCAUUGUACAGUUCUGUGCAGAAUGUUUGACGCUCAACAGCACCUUCCUAUGAAUCAACUAUUGACUGAAUUCCUGAAUCAUGAUCAAUCUUCAUGUUCAUUUUCACCUUCAGAAUCUGCAUAAAUAGAAAAGUAAGUCCAAUUAUAUAUCAGUUACAACGGGAGGUUCUGACUGAAGAUGCUAGUGGUCUGAAUUAUAUGCAAGAGGUUGCUGUCAUAUUAGAUCACUUGGCUGGAGCAAUAAUGGCUGCUAAUACAUUUAUAACAAGCUAUAGAAGUCGUCUUCAAGGGAAAUUUAACCGAUAAUAGGGGUCAAGACGCUGUCAGGCGAGUUUUUUUGAUUUGCUAAAAACUAUCCAUUCCAUCUUUAGGCCCCUAACUAUGAUAAAGGGGCGAGUGCACUUUUUGAUGAACCACAAGUAUAACCCAUACUAAAUAUGAUUAGUCAUGAAGCCAUUAACAGGUUCUCAGGUUUACAGUAAAUUAAAAGUUAUAUAGAGCAUAAUAAACUUCAUCCACUGGAACAAAGCAGUAAUAGAAUUCAUUCAAAACAAAUGCAACCAUCAGUUGAGUAGUGACGGAUUAUUUACAGAAAACCUAUGAUGCCCUUAUUAUACUUAUGGCUUGGAAAAAUGAAUAAACACAAUACCAGAGCACAUUGAACAAUUAUGCUGCAAAAUUAAAAGAAUAGGUAUCUACUCAGAAGGUAUUGAAUGAUUAAGGCCUUCAAAAAUUCAAUCUUCCAUGACAACAAAGCGGUACAUUUGUUUACUUCAACUAGUACUGAUUUGCUACACUAAUGCUUUCCUCUUCUUUUCCCCCCUUUGUGUGGGUUUUUUUUUUGUUUUGUUGGGGNNNNNNNNNNNNNNNNNNNNNNNNNNNNNNNNNNNNNNNNNNNNNNNNNNNNNNNNNNNNNNNNNNNNNNNNNNNNNNNNNNNNNNNNNNNNNNNNNNNNNNCCUUGUUUUGACUUACCAGAUCGAACAUCAUCACUAAGUUGGCCUCUUGCUUGGAUUUGUUUAACAAGCAUCCGAUACAUUAACACCCACCAGUAAAUGUGAAGAACGAGCAAGCAAAAGAGAAGAGUAUUGAACACGUAGUAGUAGAUUGGUCCUUCAACUCUGUGCUUCUCCUUGUCCAAUGCUUGGAGAACUUCAUAACUGCCGAAAAAGGAAUAAUCCAUAAUAUUUCAUCAUAUUUUAAGCUCUUCAACAUAUUAAUAGUUAUCAGAAACUAUAGAAUCUUAAAUUGGAUACUGAAAUUGAUAUUGAUACUAUAAGAAAAGGAAAGAAAAUAAGAUCAAAAAUGAGUAUCUCACUAAAGUGCAAGCAGUGCUACUGAACUAAUAAUAAGUAAACCAAUUAUCAAUGAAACAUUUAACAAUUGAAGUUUUGAACUAUGAAUUUUCAUCCAGAAAAAGAUGAUACUACCAGAAAUCUGUUUGAAUGAUGGCUACUAAUCAAAUAAUAAAAGAACAUAAUUGCCAUUAAAUAGCAUCACAUCUCCUGGCCCUAAGAACUACUAAGAUCAUGUAUUCAGGCUUUUAGCUUCUAGAAAUAUUCCUCAACUAAGAGCUAGAGACGAAACCUUGGGAAAUUAAGAUUUUACGGUAAAUUUAUGAAUCGGAAAGAAACCUGUUUGUUCAACGAUUUUGUGCACAGAUAGUAGAAGAUUAAGAUUCCAAGGUUAAAUAAAUAGAUAUAGGAGUUGUUGAAGCUAGUAUACAUAUGUAGAUAUACAUAAGUGUACCUAUACAACCAAAUGCUGCUGGUGGAGAAUGUAUAUAUAUCUUUUGAGAAUUUAUUCAGCAAUUAUGUUGUGCACCACCAGACUGAGAAAACCACCCUUGGUUCUUAAGUAAAGAUUAUCAAGUAACUGCCAACCAAUUAAUUAGGAAUGGAUACUGCAAGAAGCCACCAUCAUUCUAUCUCUUUGUUCUUCGUAUUCUACUUUGUUUCUUUUUCUUCUCAUGUUUUAUGUUAAAAUAUAACCAUAUUAAUCUUUCCAAUUUGAGAUAAUUCAGCUUGAUUAUACUUAACGCUAGUUGUCUCAUGUUCAAACCUAAAGUAAUUAGGUUUUUAAUUGCUAUUCAGAUUUAAGUUUGACUUGUGCAACCAUUUUUUAAGUCCUUUUGUUUCUGUUGUUGAAAAUUCAUACAUAAUUCUUAAUAAUGUAUAUUGGUUAGUAAAGAUGAGUUGGGUUGACACUAGUCUAGGUUUCAGAUUCCCAAUCAAAUACCAGGUGGCCAAGGUCAGAAAGACAUGCAGAAAUCAAAUGAAAUGAGUGUUAUAACCCUAUUUGGAUAUGAGAUAAAAGUAUUGUACUAAUAAAUUUUUAAAGAAAAACACCUGGCCCAACCCCAAAAGAUAAUGUGAAAGAAGAAACAUAGAGAUCCAAAUGAAUAAUCAUAAAAGAAUGCAACAGUGAAGAUAAAUAGGCUCCUUUAAAUUCCUAAAAUACCUUCAACAAUGGUAUAUCUUGAGGGUAACACACUAGUAGACAACAUUAGACUACCAAAAAAAAGUUGUUGACCGUGAUUGCUUCUUUAACUAGUCAAUUCCAUUUAUUAAUAUCUUCCUUAAUGUCUUAACUUCUGACCUAGUUAAGAUUUUAGAAUACAUAUCAAUUUUGACAAACCAUUUGACAUCAGAGCAAAGGAAUUUGCAAGAGUAUCAAUGAAUAAAUGUGAAAAAGCAAUCUACUCCACCUUGUACUCCAGAGGAUCCAAAAUGGAUAGUAGAUGAGGCGAAGUAGAACCCAUGAUAAAACAAACAGAAUAAAUGAAAAGCUAGCAAGAGUCUCAGUGCCACUAUAUUUGGACAUCUUCCCUACUUCAAGAAAUACAUCACUAGCAUCAUGAAGAGCCAAAACAACAGAACCAACUCGAGCAAACCUGCAAUAAGACACAUGAAACAAAUUUUAAAAAUUCCAUCUGCACCAGGUUAUACUAUUUUAGCCCUUUCUAGUACAUAUAUUAAUUUGAAUAAUCAUAUAUUCAUAUUAAUCAUCCCACAUAAUGCCAUUCCUUGAACAUAUUCCAACCUAAGUUGAAGUCAGCAUAAUUGAAAUUAGAACUGAAAAUGAUAAUUACAAAUUAAUAUCCUUCUAAGCAUACCUGAAUAUGUAAGACAACAUGAUGAGUAUCGCAGUUGCUACAUGAUGACCCAUUGACACCCCAAAAUCAGAACGCCUUGUUUCCCAAAAUAUCAAAGCAAAUAUGGAGUAUGUAUAGAAUCCACCAACAUACAUAUAAAGUCCUUUCAAUUUCAACCUGGUUAUCAUAAAAUGAGUCAACUCAGAAAUAGAAAAUUCUUACAAAGUAAAAGAAUAAAUCAAGAGCGACCCAACGUUGCUACAAAAAUUAUAUAAUCAUUGGUCUAUAAUUUUUGGAAAUCUUACUUAAUUUUAAGCUCUGGCCAUACUUGAUUUCCAGGUCCUGUCCAAAAAUUGCUUGUGUUAGUGAACCAAGGCUCAUCAUAGGUUACAGCAAGAGCUAGAAUCUCUGCUGAAAGGUAAUAAAUGCAUUUCCACGCUGAUUCCUUGAACUUUCGUAUCUUCUUUCUCCUCUCAUCUGUCUCAACAUCCAGCUUCUGAUUUCCCUUUCCAAAUAUCAACAGUCUUCCCACUUUCUGCAAAAUGUAAACAUUCAUUUUACUUUACAGUCUGAAUACAAAAAUUUCCAUUGAAGAGUUAAUUUUCUUUUUCUUUUUGGGUAGGAGGGUUGUGGGGAAGACCUGGCCAUGGAGCAGAUUGAUUCGAGAAGGUCAAUUACAAACAUAUAGAAAGAAAUCAACUAGUGUUGGUGUUGCUUAUACAUGGUGUUGGGAGAGGUAAACUAGAUAAUAUAUAUCCUUCAGCAUUUUUUUUAUGAGUAGCUAUCAUGCAGCGUUAUUUUUUAACAAAUUUUGUGUUCUUGAGCUGAACCAUUCUAUUUGCACCAAAAUAACAAUCCAAAAGAAGUUUACCAAGAACACUCCCCAUGGAAGGUUUAAUCUCGGUUGACGCAUAAGCUGGGCCGAGGACACCCUUACCGUUCAAACAAAAAAAAAGACUAGUUAUCUAGUAAAACCAACAUUGGAGGUUCAUUAAAUCUAUAUUUUUUGAAGCAGAAAAAGCUAUUGAAUCCAAUUUUUUAAAAUUUUAAAAUGAAUUUGUAUUCAGUACCAUUCUUUAAUAUGUAAUAUUCGCAUUCAAUUUUUCAAUCAUGAAAGUUGUAAAUUAGUAACUUGGGAUCAGUCUAAUAAUUGUUUAUCUGCAAUGGUCUCUGCAUGUGGUUUUAUCCUGAUUUUCCAGCUUAUCAUCUAUGAUGUUGCAUUCUAGGUAGUAACAACAUUGAGUCAGAUAAAGAAGAUACUUUCUGGGUAUGUUUGGGAUUACAAAGUUCUGGGAGUGUUGUUUGUUGGUAAUAAAGCAUUAGGGACAGAAACCAGAUGAGCAUUACCAUUCAUGUUAAAGGUACAAAAGGACAACUAAAAGAAGAUAAAACACAGGAUUAUUAGUUGGGAAAAAGAACUACAGCCCUAAAAUAAAAUAAGUUCCACAUUGUCAAUAAAAUGUACUAGCUAAGGAUUUAAAUAAAUAUGUAUUGUCUCUCAUGGUCCAAUUGGCCAUGGAUGACUAAUAAGUAAAAUCUUAGUUAGUAUUAGAUCAUAAAUCCCGUCUCAAUUAUGAAAUUAAGAUCAUGCAUUACUAAAAUGGAUAAAAUACCGCCUAAGAGAACAUCGAAUCACUCAAAAUCCAUGUGACUUGACGUAAAUGUCAGGGAAAAAUCUUGGUAGAAAAAGAUGCCACAGAAAGCACAGACAUUAAUAUGUUACUCCCUCCAUCACAAAAGAAAGUCCAGUUUCGAAAGUCUUAAAAAUGUUUGACUUUAGCAUAAUUAACGACUAAGAUCAUAAUUUAGACUUCGCAGGAAUCUAAUAUAAAGAAGAAGCUAUUGAAUCAAAAAGAUGCGCCUCUAUAGGUGUUUAUGGUGUAAAAUGCUUUUGCUGGGCUGAUUGGACCUUCUUUAAUAUUGGAGUGAGCAGUCUUCAUCUUUUUGGUUAUACUGUUGCAGUGAGUAAAUACAAAGUAUAAACUAUAAACAGAACUGUAUAUUCUGUUCUUUGUGCUUAAAAAAACAUAUAUCCAUAGCACAAUUACAGCUAGAAAAACAACAGAAUUUCAAAAAUUAACACAAAGCAAAAGGAUGAAUGCAAUAUUGGUCGACGAUACACCAUAUAUUCGUAAAGCAAUGAAUAGCAAAACGUACACACAGUGAGCUUGAUCAGUCGAUCUAAUAACCAAUUAUCAAACAAAGUGAACAUCAAUCGAAAGUAAAAGAAACCCACUUCAAUCAAACUGAUAAUAAAAUCAACAAGGUACCUCGAAAAUAAAUCUGUCGAGAAAGAAGCGCACUGUAGGGAAGAACAGGGCAAAUAAGGGAAGAACUGCAAAAUCUUCAUACUUUGGAAACGAUUCAUGUUCCCAAUCAAAGGAACCCAAAAAUUCAACCAAGUCCAUUACGGGUUUCCUCAGAAUAACUGUAUCUGUAUCUAUAUAAUUGGUAAGUAAAUCUCUCUAUAUAUAUACACGUAUAUAUGAAUAUGGAUGAAUUCUUGGGCAGAUCAAUGUCUAGCCCAGUAAGGUGAGAUCAAAUCGAGGACUUUAGCAAUGUAAUUGGUUGGUUAUUGUGUAUUGAACAGAUCUGUCUCCCCCACCAGAAUUAUUUAUUUAUUUAAGAUGCCAUUUGAUAAAUCAAGUCAAUUCGGCUUUGAGGUUGACAUUAUAAAAAGUUGGCAAUCGACUGGCGAUUGUUAUCUGGACCGGCGUACGAUUAGUAGAGUCCAGCAUGGUGGGAAGGCUUUGGGCUGCCCAAUAUCAGUUGAGAAAGAGAAUAGCUUUUAUGGUUUAAUCGUAAUCCAAAAACUGUGCAAUAUACAAUUUUUUUUAAUUACUUAAUGAAAAUAUGGCACCUUAAAUAAUUUUAUUAAUUAUUUAUUUAGAUUUUAUUUAUUUAUGAGAACCUAUUAUUUUGCAAUUCAUUUUAGAGAUACAUUUCAUUCUACAGCCUAAGGAAAGUUGGAGAAGGGGUCCGUAAAAAUCAGAGAGCAACUUAAGAGAAACUUAUUUUUAAGUAUAAAACAAAGGAAAUCAUAUAUUUAACUUUUGCCAAUUUCAGAAUGAAAUAAAAAUAAUAUAUUUGAUGAUCAUUUUUGAGUAUAAAUUAUUCCAUUCCAAUAGAAUGGAUUUCCUUUCAAUCCUGGCCUUAACAUUUUUACUGUGAUUUUCAAGUCCUGAGAACGGUUAAAUACAAACACAGAGAGUAUUACCAUUUGUGUAAUUUUUUAGCAGUAAAUUAAUUAGUCAUCCAAGAAGAAGUUUAAACUGGGGCCUCCUCUUCCAAUAGGCCAAGUUGUCUGAGGGAUGAAUGAAAUAAUAAAUGAUACACAAUUAUAAGCAUCUUAAGUUCAUCCCCUUGAAACAUCACUACCCCCUUGCAUCUUGUUUGGCUGGGCUUACCGAGAGAUGAUAAAAUCCAUGGCAGCCUAGCUGUAAUGGGACACACAUCGGAAGCUAAUGAUUUGUGUGCCUGUUUUUAGUUCGUUUUCUGAAUGUGCCUAUAUAGUUUAGUUAGUUCCUUUCAAUGAAAUAAACAAGUGUGACUGGAGCCGGGAUAUCUUACUUGAGGAUAAGUCCAUAAUUAGCUGAAUGUAUAUACAUACAACCUCAGUGAUUUGCAGGGCUAGUAAUUAUCAUCUUCUUUUUUAGAAGACAAAUCAUAUAUUUAACUUUUGCCAAUUCCAGAAGAAACCAAGUUAUAUUUCCGGGUAAUAGAAGCCAGAGAUGUGAUGGUGCUAAAAUUGAUAAUAAUAAUAAUAAUAAUAAUAAUAAUAAUUUCAUUUUGUAUCAUCAAUGUAGCGUUUUUUGCUUUUUGCAUGGAAGAUUCGCAUUUAUAGGAGUCGGUUUCCUUUCUAAGAAAAUUAGAGUCUCAGAUUUUCUUGUUCUGAACAAGAAUACUUUGUUUUUCAGUUGAUUACUCUCUUUUUGAUUUUCUGCUGUAUACUCUAGCGAUAGACAUGGACUCAUCCCAAGUCUGCGGAGUCAUAGAAGAAUAUAGUAGCAGUGAGUCCGGGUGGGCAAUGUAUAUAAACUCUCCCAACCACGAAAACAAGAAUGAGGAUGGAGGUGAUCACCAAACAGAUCAAGAAUCUGGGCAUGAUAAUGCAGAGUGAUGAUUCUAUGGCUUCAGACGCCUCUUCAGGUUCAAGUCAUGAUCAUCGUGUAACUUUACACACUAAGGAAAGUUGUGGCAAGGGUGAUUUCAAGUACGCAAAGGAUAAAAAUUUGGUCCAAACUUCACGCAAGAUACCUAGGAAACAGAUGGAGAAGAAGAUGUACAAAAGGAAGAAAGAAGCUGAGACCCAAGAGCCAAAACACCAGCCAUACAGAGCUAUCGGUUAUGGUCAAAGUGGAGCAAAGAAAAUCAAGUAGGAGGGCAGAAGACACUUCAUAGAUUCAGUGAGCACACAGUAGUGUAGUCAGGCAGUAUUAGCUAACUCAAGCACAUGUAUACAUCAUAAAUGUUCACGUGAUCCUUUGUUUCAUGUUCCAUGAUAUAUAAAAGUUUCAAAUGCGUGUGUAUAUAUAUAUAUAUAUAUAUAUAUAUAUACAUAUACAUAUACUUGUAUGAAUAUAUGUCAGACCAAACAUGCAAAAAGGUGAUUUAGAAACUGAUACAGAUCUAGGGUAGCAAAAAUCUAGGGAGCGAUAGCAUAGAGAUGGAGGAUGACAAUUGACAAACACCAAAAUACCAGGCAUUACUAUUAAGAAAAGACGCCACAAAUAUGAUAUUUGAGCUCUACCUCUUCUUGAAGAAAUAUUGUUGGUCUAUUGGUUUCAAAGCUCGUGCUCGUAGUUCAUCUAAAGGCAGUUCAUCUAGCUGAGGUCAAUAAUCAAUGGCAGCAUCAAUGAAAAGCAUUUGAACAUGAAAAAUUAAAAUUUAAGACUUCAUAUAACAAGAAAGUACAUGACCAGAAUAAAGAUCCACGGGACCCCCAGCAAACAUAUAUUGCUCUUAUAAUUAAGAAGAUAGGUCCACCACAAUAUGAAAAAUCAAACCAAAUCUAAAAGAAGUUACAACAAACAUAGAUAAUAUGCAAUUUAGACACUUUCAGUAUAUCUAGAAACAACAAUGCCAAGAAAAGUAUGACAAAAUGAAAUAGAAUCAAAUGCUCGGUCUCAAUCACCAAUGGAACAUUAUUAGGUAUAAAAGACAACAGUUCAAAAUGGUUGAAGACAACCAUCGGAAAUCAGAUCUUUGACUGUUUGGCGAUCUUGAACCAUUCAGUAUGGAAGGCCCCUGGUAUAUCAGUCCUCUCAUAUGUAUGAGCACCAAAAUAAUCUCUUUGCGCUUGAACCAAAUUAGCAGGCAGCCUUUCCCUUCUAUAGGUGUCAAAGUAAGCGAGACUAGAAGACAUACCCGGUGUGCUUAUACCUGCGUUGAUAGCAAGACAAACAACUCUUCGCCAAGCAGAUUGUCGCUCUAUCAUCUCCUUUGCAAACUCUGGAUCCACAAGAAGGUUAGCGAGAUCUGCAUUUCUAUCAUAAGCCUGCUUGAUGCGGUCCAAAAAUAUUGCACGGAUAAUGCAACCCCCCUUCCAAAUCCUAGCAAGCUCCCCAAGUUUUAAACCCCACCCCUUUUCAAUACUCUUUGCGCGGAUCAAAUUCAUUCCCUGGGCAUAACUACAUAUCUUGGAAGCGUACAGCGCUUGUCUGACAUCAUCAAUCAACCUCUUCUUAUCCACAGUUUGGUCAAUGAGGAUGUCCCCCACCCCGCCUGCUUUGAAGACCUCUGCAGCUGCAACUCUUUCAUCCUUCAAACCACUGAGGAAUCUUGAAUCCAAAGAUGAAGCUAUAGUAGGAGCAGCAAUAGACAGCUCAGCAGCUUGCUGGACCGUCCAUUUACCUGUACCCUUCAUGCCUGUUUUAUCAAGAACCUUGUCCACCAAAUACCCAUCUCCCUUAUCAUCCUUAAUUCCAAAUAUAUCUGCUGUAAUCUCGAUUAAGAAGCUCAGAAGUUCCCCCUUAUUCCACUCUGAGAAAACCUGAUGCAAUUCCUCAUUUGAGAGCUUCCCAACUGAUUUUAGUACAUCAUAAGCUUCUGAAAUCAGCUGCAUAUCACCAUACUCAAUCCCAUUGUGAACCAUCUUAACAAAAUUUCCAGAUCCACCUUCGCCAAUGUAUGUAACGCAAGGGCCACUGUCAGGAACUUGAGCAGCCACCUUGAGAAGGAUAUCUUCUAUAUUCUUAUAAGCCUCAAAGGAUCCUCCAGGCAUUAAAGAGGGUCCAUUCCGAGCACCCUCUUCACCACCCGAAACUCCCAUUCCAAGAUAGAGUAAGCCUAAUUCAGCCAUAGCUUUCUCUCUCCUUUCGGUGUUCUCGUACCACUCGUUACCACCAUCAAUGAUACAAUCUCCUUUCUCCAAGUAGACGGAAAGGGUUUUGAUGGUUUGAUCAACUGGUGCACCAGCCUUAACAAGCAUAAUUAUGACUCGAGGUUUCUGGAUUGAAUUAACAAAGGCCUCAGGAUCAUGGAAGCCGUACAAGGGAAGGUUUCCUUCAAGUUGGGCGCGUUCCACGGUCUCGUCAACUUUUGAAGUAGUUCGGUUGUAAACAGAAAUAGGGAAUCCUUUCUCAGCAAUGUUGAGGGCAAGAUUUUGACCCAUGACGGCAAGGCCAGCGAGACCGAUUCUUGUUGGGAGAGGAGCCAUUUCCUUUUCCUGUUUAAAACUUUACCAUCAGACAUCAGUAGAUUAUAUUUAUGGUUUCAUAAAUCACAUGCUAAUGGAGAGGAAAGUUCCAAUAACAUCGAAAAAUGGAAACAAAAAAAUCAUUUAAGGAACCAUUCUAAACAGGCCAGUAAAGUCUAUAUACUUGGGUGAAUCCUAACAAAACAGAACAAAAAGAACCCAAAAAUUCAAGACUUAUUGCAAAGCCUCCAUAUUGUUAAAAUGGAAUCUAAAAAAUCUAUUGGACAGACAAACAUAUCUCAGUGGGAAGGAAAUACAAAUUAACUGUUUAACCAGAAGAACUUGGAACUUAUUUCCAAGAUCCGUGCUACAUUUUGUUGCUUUGAGUAGGAAGUGGGAGAUCCAAUUCAAAUCCCGUAAUUGGUUGCUUACUAUAUUAAAAAUGAAUUUGGAAAUCCCCCAACUCUUCCCCUUCAUAUGGUCCAGUAUUAAAUUCCAAAGAUUCAUAACCUAUAUCCUACCUCCUACAUAGAUGAAUGGGUAAAUCUGAUCUACCUUAUCACAUUCAGCCAAAUAAUUACAAUAUUAUGAUUUCCUGAUCACUUCACCAACAAAUCAGAAAGUGACCUACAGAAGAUGUGCAAAAUAAAGAUUCAAAUAAAAGGAACCGGUUAUAUAAUUGAACCCCAUAUCAAAAGAAUCACAGAUAACUUAAUAGAAUGUUGCCAAGAAGAACCAAAUUUAUGACAAAAACGAGAUGAAAAUGAAAAAAAAAAUAACUUGCUGGUAGAAGUAGUAAAAAAUCAGUAACAAACACAUUAUAUACAUCCAAAGGUUCAAUCAAACUAUAUAGCAGAAAACAAAUCGGGCAAACAAAGUCCGGAAACUUUCAAAGGCAAAGGAAAAAGCAAAAAAACAACAUCUCAGCACUGAUCAAAGAUGAAAGAUUGAAUCUUGACAAGGAAGUAUUACCUCAGAAGAAUACAAAACUAUGAAACUUUACUUCAAAUGGUUCGAACCAGAGAAAUUUUUGGAUCUGAGCUUUUAAGAUCACACUCAAUCAAUCCGGUAGAAGACGAUUAUAUACUGGUAUAAAGAAGGUUCCCACACUAGUCUAUCUUCUGACUUCGGCGGAAGCCCAGUACAUUCACGCGCAAGUCAAAUUCGGCUGGCUUAUCGUUUUCCCCUAUCACCGGUGAAUUGGUGAUUGAUUUACCAAAUGCCCUUCUUUUCCCGCAUAUCCCAGCGGAUCCACCUACCACCAAACUACUCCUACUUAAAAGUUAAAAGGGAUAAAUAACGUUUUCUUCGAACUUUGAUUUUCAUUGUGAUUAUCGAAUUUUUUUUUAUUACAAUUCAAUAAUUAUACUUUCAAAAAUUUAUAAAAUAGUCAUUCCGUCCAAUUUUUCGUCCAAAAAAUAUUAAAAAUACUGACUGUGCAAGUUGACUUGACUUUUUUACUUACGUAGAACACAAAAAAGACAAGCAAGUAGAUUAUUAUAGCACAAAUGACCAAAACUAUUAAUUACUUCACCUAAACAAUUCCAAAACUAAUAAUAAUAAUAAUACUAAUAAUUUCUAAAUAAUAAUAAUAAUAAUAAUAAAUACUAUUAAUAGUAAUAAUUUUAAAAUUCUAUUUUUAAAUUUUUUUAAAAAAAAAUCUGUUAAUUUUAAAAAAGUCUUUUUUUUAAAAGAUUUUUUGUUUUUUAUAAUUCAAUUUUUUUUAAAAAGUCUGUUUUUUUAAAAAACGUUAAUUUUUUAUAAAAACAGAUUUUUUUUAAUUUUUUUAAAAACGUUAAUUUUUUUUAACUGAACUAAUAUUUUUUUUAAAAAGUUAAUUUUUUUUAAAAACGUUAAUUUUUUUAUAAAAACAGAAUUUUUUUUUAGAAAAUUAAUGUUUUUUUGAAUUUUUUUAAAAAUUUAACGUUUUUUAAUUUUUUUUUAAAAAAGUAACGUUUUCAAAAUUUUUUUAGAAAAGUAACGUUUUUUAAAUUUUUUUAGAAAAGUAACGUUUUUUAAAAAAAUUUUAGAAAAUUAACGUUUUUUAAAUAUUUAGAAAAGUAACGUUUUUUAAAUUUUUAAAAAUUAACGUUUUUUAAAUUUAAGAAUUUUUAAAAAAAAUAUUAGUUCAGUUUUAAAAAAAUUAAAAAAAUUCUGUUUUUAUAAAAAAUUAACGUUUUUAAAAAAAACAGACUUUUUAAAAAAAAAUUGAAUUUUAAAAAACAGAUUUUUUUUUAAAAACAUCUUUUUUUAAAAAAAGACUUUUUUAAUAUUAACAGAUUUUUUUUAAAAAUAGAAUUUUAAAAUUAUUACUAUUAUUAUUAUUAUUUUGAAAUUAUUAUUAUUAUUAUUAUUAUUAUUAUUAGUUUUGAAAUUGUUUAGGUGAAGUAUUUAAUAGUUUUGGUCAUUUGUGCUAUAAUAAUCCGCCUGCUUGUAUUUUCUGUGCUCCACGUAAGCAAAAAAGUUAAGUCAACUUGCACAGUCAGCAUUCCUAACGUUUUUUGGACGGAAAAUCGGACGGAAUGACUAUUUUGUAAGUUUUUGAAAGUACAGUUAUUCGAUUGUAAUAAAAAAAAGUUUCGAUAACCACAAUGAAAACCGGACCCCAGUAUAAUGACCAAAACGUUAUUUAUCCCAAAGUUAAAAGCAUGAUUUUUAAUACAAUUUUUUUUUUGUUAUAUCUGCACAGAUCAAAUACUACAUGAAAUAUGUAGAAGGACUAAUUUAUUAUAAAAAUUCCCCUUCUUUAAUUUUCUUAAUUUGUAAAAAAAAACAGAGACCUAAGAAAUUUCGAUAUACAAUCUAAACUGUAGCAAUAAAUUAAGGAUAUAUUUUUAAAUUGCCAAUUUUAAAAAUAAUAUUAAUUAUAAAUAUAGUAGUAGUACGUAGUGACAUGAGGCUAUAAUACUAUUCAAUAAUCAAUAAUUUUAAUAAAAAUAUAUAUUUAUUUGGAACAAACAUAAAAGAAAAAAGUAUGUCUCAUUUUGGAAUGAAAAGGUUAAUUUAUCCAUUCAUUAAAAGCAUUCUUAUUAGAAUUUAUGUUGAGAAAUAUGUCAAAUUCUAAAAUUCAAAUUGUAAUGUAAAUUUAUUUUAAUUUUUAAAAUAAAAAAUUUAUGCUUGGCAAUUUAUAAUAGUAUUAACUAUUGUAUUAAUGUUUACAUGAAUUUUGAAAUUUUAAAUUUACCAAAUUGAAUAUGAUAUAGAAAUCAAGUGGAACAGUAUUUGUGCAUGUGAAAAUUCAAUUGAUAAGAUUCACAUGCUAUUAUAACUUAAUAAAAUAAUAAGAAUUCCACAUAUCUAUUUUUAUUCUCAAAUCAAUCCAUCGUUUCAUCUCUAGUUCACCAAAGCCCUAACACGAAUAAUCUUUCCUGAAAAUUUCCUCUAAUAUUUUUUGAAGCUUUAGUAAGUUAUAAUGUUAAUUUAUUAUAAUGCUCUCUUAACUUAGUGAAAAAAUAUUUAUUUUUUUCAGAUAUGUAGUGAAGUGACCUAUGCGCAUGUCGCGUUAUCAAUUUUUGACGUGACACAACUAAUUGGUAGACAUUAAAAUAAAUUAAGAGAAAAAGUCCGGCCAAUUUAUUUAUUUUUUAUGAUUCCUAAACAAUUUAUAAUAUUUAUUAGAACUGAAUUUUUUAUAAAAUUCAGUGAUUUAGGUGUCAUUUAGAUACAUGUAAAAAACAUAAUUGUACAGUUCCAAAUGAGACCUAGAUCACUGAAUUCUAUAAAAAUUUCAGUUUCAAUAAAUAUUAUAAAUUGUUUGGGAGUCAUAAAAAAAAUUGUUAAAAUUUUUUAUGAGAAAGUGUUCAUGGUAGCAAUAUUUAAUGAAGCCUUAUUUUAAACAAUAAGUCCAUUUUUAAUGUCUAGCUAAAAAAUUUCUUAUCUAGAUUUCUCAGCUCAAUUCACCACCGUUCACAAACCUUAAGCUGUUGUUUGAUACAUGUCAUCUUAGCUCCUAAUCCUUAAUAACAUAGAUUUAUAUUUGAUAAUCUUAAUUUUUUUUCAUAAAUUAGAAAGUAGACCUGAUAAACAGGUGAGACAACGAUUAAAAGCUCGAUUUUUAUUGGGUUACAAAUGUAAAUACCAUGACCACAAUAAUGUGUACAAGAUAAUAAAUUCAUGAAAAAUGAUAUUUGUUUAUAAAAACCAUCAUUUAUAAAAUAUAUUUUUAAUUUUGGAUCCCAAGGAAUAUUUAAAAUUAUCAUAGGUAGUAAUUUCGUAGACAAUAUUUUAAUUUUAAAUUUAUUACUCUUUAUAAAGUUCAUUAGCAGUUGAAAGAACUUAUGAAGUAGUCUAGAUUUUAAAGUUGUAAAUAAAUAUUAUAAAAAUCAAAAAAGAAAGAAAAUAUAUACAAAUGAUUCUUCACAUUAAAGGUGAGACUCCACAAUUCUUUGUUUAAACUGUGUUAAUUUGAAUUAGGUUGUGUUUAAUUUCUUAUCAUUUGUUAAUUUGAGCUUGAAUCUAGAUAGUAGUUUGAAGAUGAUGCAGCAUCAUAUUAGUAUUAGCACGAAAUAAGAAAUAAAGGCUUGUGAGAAGUAUAUUGACAAAUACUAAUCUAAUUAGUUAAAGAAAAUUGCUCCAUCUAACACCCAACCCAAGAGCAUGCAUUCAAUGUUGCUAUAUAUAAGAGCAUCUCCAAACAAAUAGACAAACAUAUAAAUAUUCUUUUCGCUCUUAAAUCUAUAACCUCCUUUCUACUCUUCAAAUCUAUAAUUAAAGGCUAAAAAUAUUUAUUAUAUAUGUUUGAUAGGUCUGAUGUAUAGCUCAUUAGAUUGAAAAGACUGAUGACGCACAAAAUAUGAAAAUAACAAAUAAUACUCUUUAAAUUAUCACGUAGGUCAACAAAUAUUAAUUUGAAAAAUAUUUUUUACUCCUACUCUUGGAGAUGCUCUAAUAAGGUCAAAUGUAUGAGUAGAGAGACAAGAUGUACAAGCGAUGAAGGCUGUUGGAAAAAACUAUAAACUUAAUUUAGCUGCUUAUAAUGAGUUGCCUUUUUCAAAUGUUUUAAUCUUCUAGUACGUAGUUCAUUGUAUAUAUUAUUAUCCACUACUACCAGCACCUCCACCACCAUUUGUCCCAUUGCUCUGCUACAGUGAGCAAAAACAUGACUUAAUUUGGCCUUCCUUCAAACUACCUGCUGGAUCCUGUUUCCAUGAAGAGCCGGAAAUAUUAUUUAUCCCCAUAUUCAUUCUGUGAUUACGCAAAAUAUUAGAAGAGCCGGCCGGAAACUGGUGUUUUUAAAUAAUGAAUAUUUGUUCACGAGGAAAACUAUAUUUAUUUAGCUCCUUUGGUAUAUGGUUCAUGAUGUUAUAAACCUCUAUUUUCCUUUGAAUGAGACAAAUAUAUAGUAGCAUAAUUCAUACUUGAGAGAAUAAGGAAUAUAUAUAUAUCAAAAAGUGGAUAUAGAACAAACGUUAUUAUUCCAUCAAACGUAUAUAUAUACAUAUUUAUUUCUAGUGUUUUGUUGCAGUUUGUGACAAUUUGAGUGAUUAAUCUCGUUGAAGAAAAUUUGAGGAAUUUCUGAUGCAUUGGUUUGAAGAUUCAGCCCUGAGAUGGGCGGCUGUGCAAGGAAUUAAUCUACUCGAUCCAGAUGUCUCAAAUUAAACCGUCGUAAGUAAAUGAAAGUUGAAUGUCAGUUAGCCUGUGACGAAGGUCGGACGCCUCUUCCUUGAGCCAUGCAUUCUCUAGAAGAACUCUGUCAUGGCUCUCUGAUGCAUCAUUCAACUUGUCUAUGAGGUCCUGAUUCUCAGUUCUUAGACGCAGCACCUGUGACCAGAGCUCAUCUAGUUGUUUCUGCUUCCGCAUCCUUGACCUGCGAGCAGAUUCUCUAUUAGAAAUCAUCCUCCUUAGCUUUCUCUCGUCGAUGAUGCUAAGCUGAAGCUCAUGAUCAUCUCCUUCGUCUGAGGUUGAGUUAUUGCUGAUACACGAGGGCUGCGGAGUGAACUCAUGGACGGAAAGAGAGGUUUGAAAAUUCGGAAAGUUGUUUAAGAAGCUGCUGAAAGGGAGUGAUGGCAUGCUAUUAUCCUGCAUCAACCCAAAAUUAUUUGCAAAAUGGGUUGAUUUUUCUUGAGCUAGGGGGUGGUGGAUUCCUGCGAUCUCGGACCGAAAAAGCAUGGCUAAAUAUGGUUGGUGUAAGAGUGAAUUUGAAGGUUUAUUGUGCAGAUAGUGUAGAGAGGGGAUGGACAGAAUGAGGGGUUUUAUAGGAGGAUUAAACAAACAUAUAUAGUAAUAGCACUUCAAAUGUGUGUGAUGUAUGCAUGUAAUGAUUGGAACUGAUACUAUAUACUACAAGUAUAUGUGUAUGUGUGUGUGUGUGUUCAGUGUUGAUGCAUGUAUAUUUCUUGGAUAACGGAUAACUUGAGUUUUUGGAUAAUCAUUGAUGUAAUUCUUACUGGGGAAGGAAUGUUUGUGGUAAAAAUGAUGAAAAAAGUAGAGCCAAUGAGAAAAUAGUCUUUCAAAAUUCAUUCUAAAUGUUGUCCCCUUCUGAUUGAUGACCAAUUGUGGGUGACUGGAAAAAUUAGAGCCAUACAAUAAAAAUAGAAUUUUAAUUAGUGACCAUUUUUAUAUUAAUUCAGUGACUGGAAGGGCACUUCAAUUUAGAUUCAGGGGACCUAAUGAGUAUUGAAAAUAUUAGUAUUAAUUAUCUCGACAAUUAACAUCUAGUACGUAACUUCAUUUCUUCCAUUUUUUUACUUUUUAUAUUAUCAUGUUAUUACUAUUAUAUUUUUAAUCAAUCUUAAAAUUAAAAUUAAAAAAAUAUUAUUAAAAAUCUUCGUUUUAUAAAUAUAUCUACAAUAACAUUAAAAAUAGGAUGACUACUAAGGUUGAGUAAUACCAAUAAAACUAUUUUGUUCAGUUUCGUUUGAAGUUCUAUUAAUAUUACAAGAAUGCUCUACUCCAUAUAAUUAGCACUUGGCAAUGAUAAUUACCAGAAGUGCUGAAAUGUACUCGGCAUCUUUUAGGUUCUAAAUUCUGUCUCUUUCACACCAAAUUAACUAGCCGUCACCACAGCUUCUCACGUCUCUCUCUCUCUCUCUCUCUCUCUCUCUCUCUCUCUCUCUCUCUAACAUGCAUUCUUAUUAUAUAUAAUUAAGCAUAAUUAAGAUCGUGGUCAAUUAUUAUUCGGUAAUGGUUUAUAAUUAAUUAAUACAAGGAAGAAGUCAAUAUAUAAUACUGCCCUUGUAUGCUUUUAAAGGGUCAUUGUCAUUUAUUAGUAUUUCUUUGAAGAAUAAUUAUAUAUAUAUAUAUAUAUAUAUAUAUAUAUAUAAUUAUUCUAUUAUUCUUGAAAAAUGGAUCAAGAAAAGUGUAGACAAAUCUCAGAGGUAGCAACGUGCAACCGAAUUGAAGAUGUUCUAUAUAUUUAUAUUUAUAUGCAUGCAUGCUAGUAUUAAUUAUUAUAUUAAUAAACAGUUCGAUAUAUAUUAAUUCCACCCCUAGUACGUACUACUAUUAUGUUAUUUUAUAUGUUUAAUUGGUGAUUACCCACUAACCAAAUUAAACAUCCCUUUGGUGCAACUUGAUCCAACAAGAGAAAACUAAGAAUCCGGCCGGAACCGCAAGGUUCCACGCAAUCCUUGAAAUAUUUAAUUUAAAGGCUUCUACUAUUCUAUUCUCUAGUCAGUAGUCAUGUACUGCAUGCCUAAUCAAAUAAUUUUAGUUAAAACCCCCCACUAAUUAAAACAUCAUCAGCUAAUGGUGGAUUCCCUUUUUAGAUAUAUAUAUAUAUAUAUAUAUAUAUAUAGAGAGAGAGAGAGAGAGAGAGAGAAAUUAACGUUGAUCGAGAAUACCAAAUGUGUGCCAUAAAUCCCAUACAUUUUUAAAGAGUAAAUAUUAAUAUUACAUUUUGAACAAAGAGUAUUAAUUAUUUUUUAAAAAAAUAAUUUACUCCAUAAUAUUAAUAAUUUUAUUGACUAAAAUCUUAUUUACUUUUAAUAUUCAUUCGUUCGUGUUUGUAAUUUAAUUUUUUCAUUACUUGAACAAAUCACCUAAUAAAAACUAUGUUUAAUUACCUAUAAUUUUAAUAAGUUUUUUUCCCUUCCAGCUACACGUGUCUGCCAUGUGAGGUUUUGAAGAAAAUUUUUAUGAGACCUCUUGUCACCUUAACAAUGUCCCUUCUCAAGUUUCCAUCAAGAACUAAUUUGCAAGCUUUAGAAUUUGGUAGCAUCACUUAAAUUGUACCCGCGUGUGGGUUUUUCUCCACUUUUCCCCCACCCAAACAACCCAAUUAGUUAUAAUCAAGUAUACUUUCUUUUUUAUCAUGACGAUUAGGUCAUUGUGUUGCGAUAUAUAAUAUAUAUUGGUUCUAAUAGGAUAAGCUCAUCAUCUUAAUACCCUCUUGCGCGUCUUUUAUUCAUCAAUACUCGUGCAAUUUUAUAUGUUGAUUUUUUAAUUACGAAUUACGUAGAUAAUUAUAUAAUUGAUAAUAUUUUAACGAUAUAUUUGAAAUAAUAUGCUAAUUUUAUAAUUCUAUUUAUUGAUAUAUAUAUAUAUAUAUAUAUAUGGAUUCCAUUCAUAACAACCGGUUGUUGGGAGCAACUCAUUUUUGGCCAGCCGCUACAGCCUGUAGCGGCUUAUAAAAAAAAUAAAAAAAUUANNNNNNNNNNNNNNNNNNNNNNNNNNNNNNNNNNNNNNNNNNNNNNNNNNNNNNNNNNNNNNNNNNNNNNNNNNNNNNNNNNNNNNNNNNNNNNNNNNNNAUAUAUAUAUAUAUGUUAUAAUUGUACGUGGCAAAGACUCUUAAUUUUUUGGCCACAAGAUUAAUAUAUAAAUAUUCAGUUCUUAAUUACCAUCUUUCCAGAUGUUAUUAGAAUAAUGAUACGAUAAUAAUUAAUGGCAAAAAUUGUUGUUUAAGGUUGUUUAUAUAGUUGGUCAGAUUAUAAUGAUAAUGAUAAUGAUAAAUUGUUCAUGGACGACAAUGCUUUUGUAAGUCCAUUCUUUAAGUGUGCAUUAAACUUCAAUUCUUUAACUUUGUUUAUGGUAAUGGCCAAUGGGAUUCGAUAAUUAUGGAUUAUUUAAAAAUAUUUUAUGUGGACAUCGUGCUCCUCUAGGCUCUAAUUAUAUAUGCUUCCACUUGUCAAGUUGUAUAUAGAGACUCUAUUUGUGAUCAGAUUUUAGAAUUCAUGGCCCUCCUUACGUUACGUACCUUACUAAUUAAGUUUGUCAAUUCCUAAAUUUGAUUGUCCUCCACGGCAAUCAAAUUUAGAAAUUGGAUUUAAUGCAAAAAAAAUUUAAUCAAGAUCGACUUUAUUAAAUCAAAUUAAUUUUUAAUAACUGAAGUUGUUAAAAGUCCGUGUAUAGCAGAGCCAUAGGCAUGGUGUCAUACAUUUGGUAAUAUUUCUCGUCUCACCACUUAAAAUAUCUUACACACUCUUUUUCAUGAAACAUGUUUUUUUUUUUGCCAAUAUUUUAUUCUAAAAUAAAAGAACUCUAUUUUUAUUUUAUUUUAUUUUAUGAAAUAGGAGUAUAAAAUGACACAUGCAGUGUGCUCAAAUUAAUCGUUACUACAAUUUUACUACAUUGACGUCAUUCUGAAGUUUAAAAUGUACACAUAAAUAUGGAAUAAAAAUAAAUUCUUCAACUUUAUAACUUUGAUGGAUUAAUUUUUGUGGGACAGACCAAUGGAGGACUUGCAAAAGUUUCUAGAAACCAUAGUAUUAAUUAAUAUACGUACAGAGUUUUGCUAAAUUACUUGCAAAAAUAGCUACCUAAUCUUAUAUAUUGUUUGAAUUUUCUUUUAUUAAAGAAGUGGAUGACUAAUACAUUAAGGACUCGUCAAGAACUUAAUUAAUCCUUGAAUCCCACCACGGCCACUACCAGAAACUAAGUCAAUUCUUUAAUGACAUCAACUAUAUACACACAUACAUAUAUAACCGUACGUAUUCUCAAAUUUGUCAUGAUGGAAGUGCUUAUUGCUUUAUUUAUUUAUGGUCAUCUUUGAACCUAAUGGUGUGAAAAUGUCAACUUCAAUGCUUUUUGGUGCUUCCAGUAAUGGCCUUGUGACACUAAGUUGGGCUUUGAAUUCUUUUUAUGAAAGUGAGGGAGGGAGUAAAUUGAGGUAUAAGUGCAGAAAAUGAAAUGAAAUCAUUAAUUAGUUAAUGGGUUCAUAUAUGCACUCAUUUUCUUCAAAACUAUUACUCUCUCCCUCCCUAAAUAACUGACGUUUAAGAAUUCUUUGCAACAAUUAAAAAAAAUUAAACAUGACUCUUUUGUCCUUAAUAAAUAAAUUAACCAAACAAGAAAUAAUUACUCCACCACGUUAAAAUCUUAUCAGUUCUAUUUGUUGCCAUAAUUGUUGAUAGAAACAAGGAAGAAGAUGCAAGGCCAAUGGCUCAUCCAAAAUUUUUUGCCGCUAAAUUUUUGCUUCAAUUUUCUUUUUCGCUCUAAUAUAUUGUUGAUACCAGCAUAAAGAAAGAAGCUUGAAGACGUCAAUUGCUUGACUUCUGCUACUCACUUAGGAAGCUUGAAGACGUCAAUUUUUUUCCUGUAUCUGGUGAAGACUUCUGCUACUUAUUUAGGAAUCCAUGGAGAUGAACAAUUGGCUUCCUAAUCAUAGCAAGGAGGCAUUAGGAGACAGAGUUUGAAAAACAAUCAAAUUCAUCCCCAACCACAUGAACUAUACAGAAACUAAGAAACCUGUAACCAAAUUUCAAAUGACAAAGUCAUUUUUCUAGCAACCAAAUCCUCUCAAAUUGAAGUUUGUCAUUCUCUCAAAUUGAAUAGAUUGGUUCUUGGUUUGGGGCAAGUGAUAUUGCUAUAUCCUAUAUUUAUUCAGCAAGACAAUGCAAGAACUCAUAUUGCUUUGAAUGAUAAGGAAUUUUGUCAAGCUGCUGCACAAGAUGGGUUUAAUAUUUGUUUGAUGUGUCAACCUGCAAAUUCUCCAGAUUUGAAUGUUUUGGAUCUCGGAUUUUUCCAUGCCAUUCAAUCAUUACAACAGAAAGAGCCUAUUAAAAAUAUUGAUGAGCUGGUAAAUGCUGUGGUGAAGGCUUUCAACGAUUAUCUUACAUUGAAGUCUAACCGUAUAUUUUUGUCAUUACAACUGUGUAUGAUAGAAAUAAUGAAGGCCAAAGGUUCGAACAAGUACAAGAUACCACAUAUCAAAAAAGCAUUGUUGGAAAGAGAGGGCAGCCUACCGACUCAAAUAAAAUGUGAUUUUGAAUUGGUACAAGAAGUUAUGAAUUAUCCAACUCCAUUUGAUGUAGGUAUGACUUGAAUUUUUGUAUACUAAUAUCUGUAAUUGUCCUUAAAUAGGUGUUGGUUGAUUUAAUUGGUUCUCACAUUGUUCUACAGACUAACUCAAGUGCUUUUCAAUUUUAAGUUAGAGGCCUUUUGUAUGCAGUUGCCAAGAGCUUCUUAAUUUUGGUACUACAGACUAACUCAAGUGCUUAAUGUUGGUGUUUUUAUGUUGAAAAUGUUAUUAAGACUGCUUAAUUUGGUUUUAACAAUGUUGCUUAAUUUUGGUUUAUUCUGGUGGAUGCAUUCUCUUCAAUCUACUGUCUUGAUCAUUGUGUUCUUAUAUUGAAGUUAAAAUUCUGCUGGUGUAUGAAUUUUGCUGAAAACUUCUUUUAAAAAUAAUGUAUGAUUCUAACAGGAGCAGUUGGGAAUUUUAAGUUAUAAAUGUAUUUACAAUCUAUAGUAGAUUUGCUAAUGAAUAGGCAGUUGCCAACCGACCUGGUGCAUUCACUUCUUAUCAGUCCCAAACUUCACAAGAAAUACAUUAUAGAUAGUACAAUUUUUUGCUUUGGAUGUCAUUACUAAUUUCAAUAUGCGAAAUUUAGUUGUAUUUCCACUAAUUCAAUGAUUUUUCACUCGGUAUACAGGAUGCAUGUUGAGAAUGUAAUUUUAUGGCAAUCUGGCUAUACCAUAAAAAUAAUUCCAUGAAGCCUUACAUUUCAAGGUUACACACACCAGGAUUCAAAACCACAAGAAUGCAAAACACACGCCGAAGCACAAAAAAAUACAACAGCAGAUGGAUGAAAACAGUAUCUACUGUAUCUUCCUUCAUGUUCUAUUUUCAGGAAGCAACUUUAGAUGGGGGCAUGACUAAAGCAUUGCAAUGUUGACAUAAGGUUUAAGACAUGUGAACCAUCAGCCAAUUUUAAUGUGUUGUUGCUAAUGAGAAUAGAACUCUCUCUUGUAAAUCUUUUCUAUUAGAUGCUCAUUCAUGAAACUCAAUAAAAGAGCAGAGCUACAAAUAGAUUUUAAUGUAUAAAAUUAUUAUAUAAAUAUUAGACUCAUUCUGAUGGAUUCCUAUGCUUUCUAAGCUUCAUUUUCUUUGUGCUACUAUUCGAGAUAAUAAUUUUGGUAAGCUUGAAUAACAUCCUCAAGCUUCACUUGAACAUGAAGCCAUUAGCAAUAAGAUAGUCAAGACCAUUAAAGAUAUGGCUACAAAAAAUCACCAAACUCAUCCUCCAACUCAGUACCCUUCAAAUGCUAAGUUGCUUACUUGAGAUAACAGUAAUUCUUCACAUUAACCUGAAAGAAAAUUGAAAAUUCUGACAUGAAAGAGGAAUAUGACAAGGUCAAGGCUAUGCUUUCAAACAAACACAUAAUACGAUCUCCGAAUACAGGCCAUGCAAGCAUUUGAUAAUAUACUCUAUUUUUUUUCAUUCACUAAAUGAUGAUUUUCAACAAACAGAGAGUUCAUUCAAAAAUUUAACAUUACAACUGACAUGGUUAAUAAAAUUUUGAAAGAUACACUUCAUCUUCAUCUUCAAUUUGGGUUUACAAUAUACUCUGUUUUUUUAUAUUCUCUCUCUCUAAAAUUCCUGUUCUACAAAAUACUCCAUGUUGUUCUCGAAACUCUCUUCCUGCCAGGAAAGUAAAUAGAUAUUAUUAGAUUCGCUAUAUUCAUUGUAUAGUAUAAUUCCCAUAUAAUCCCAUUUACCUAACUUAGCCUAACUAUCCUACGAUAGUCCCACAAAUCAAGCAGAAUAGAAUCCUUCCCAUAUAUUAAGGAUUCUCAUGUAUCAAUUAGUUUGUAUAACGAAUCCUUCCCAUAUAUUAAGGAUUCUCAUGUAUCAAUUAGUUUGUAUAAAUAUUAACCUUAAAGAAAUAAAAUACUCAGGGAAAUAAACUCUUUUAUGGUAUCAAAGCCUCUUCUUCUCCAAAUCCCCUUCUUUAUUCUUCCCCAUGGCUACCCUUCACCCUGCCCUUGCUAUAAACAACAUCAAAAAUCAAAUUCCCGUCAUCUUAGCCAUGGAUAAUGAUGAAUACGAUACCUGGGUGGAGUUGUUCCGUCUCCAUUGCACUGCCACCCUGGUCCUCGACCACAUCCUGCCCCCCGCCCGAUCCACCGACCAAUCCCCCUACGGACCCCGCUAUCUAGGCUCGUCUGGAUGCCGUCGUCCUCCAGUGGAUUUACGGAACUAUCUCCAAUGAUCUGCUCCACACCAUCAUUGCCCCAAAAUCCACCGCUCGACAGGCGUGGAUAAGUCUGGAAAAUAUAUUCCAGGAUAACAAGGCCACCCGUGCUGUAAGUUUGGAGCAGGAAUUCAACACUAUCCACCUCAAAGACUAUCCGUGUAUCACUGCAUAUUGUCAGGCCCUGAAAAAGCUCUCUGACCGUCUCACGAAUGUCGGCGCUCCGGUCACAAAUCAACGACUGGUCCUCCGGCUCAUCGUCGGCCUCAACUCCAACUACGAUGGCAUUGCUACUUUCCUUUCUCAAAGCUCGCCCCUACCAACAUUCUCCGAGGCCCGUUCACGAUUAAUCCUUGAAGAAACACGAAAAGCUAAUCAGGCUGCCAUGGAGGCAACCACCGCAGACACUGCCUUAUAUCAUCAGUCCCCGCCAGACCCGAAACUGGACAAUUCGUUCACCCACAAACGUCCAAAUUUCCGCGGAUCUGGCCACGGUAAGGGCCGUAACAAUCGCCGCCAGGGUCGUGGGGGUGGCCACGAUGCAUCCUCUGGUGGCUCCUCUGCUUCUGCCAUUUAUCCCUAGGCUCCAUAUCAGCCGUGGAGAUGGGGGUGGGCCCCACCUUGCCCCUACCCCACCUCUGUCAAUCCGCGCUCUCCACCGAGCCGCUACCAUGGCAUACUCGGCCGAGCACCGCAACCCCAGGCCCAUGUUGCCUCAGCUGCUGCUCCCGACGGUCCUUCCCCGACAGACAUCGAGGCUGCGAUGCACACUUUGGGUUUAACUCCUCAGGACCCGAAUUGAUACAUGGACACCGGUGCAACUUCUCACAUGACUCCGUCUCAAGGUAAUCUCUCAUCUUAUUUUAAUUUGAGCACUAAAAGAAAUAUAAUAGUCGGUAGUUGCCAAGGAAUACCAAUUCGGGGCUACGGACAGGUCACAUUACCUCCCAUUUACCCUCGCCUUAAACUACAUAAUGUUUUACAUGCCCCCAAGCUCAUUAAAAAUCUGAUUUUCGUUCGCCGUUUCACUACCGAUAAUAACGUAACAAUUGAAUUUGACCCUUUCAGUUUUUGUGUGAAGGAUAUCCGGACGAGACAACCAAUCUUGAGAUGUAACAGCACUGACGACCUAUACCCUCUACUACCCUCCCCUACCACCCAACGCAACCCGACAGCCCUAACCACCACAGCUCCGUUUUUAUGGCACGAAUGUCUGGGACACCCGGGGCCAGCUAUUCUUCGUUCAUUGCGUCAAAAUAAAUUAAUUUCUUGCACCUCUAGAAAUAGUUUAUCUAAGUGUCAGUCUUGUAUUUUCGGGAAACAUAUUAAGUUGCCAUUUAUUGAUUCUUCUAGUCAAACAUUGUCUGCUUUUGAUAUUAUUCACAGCGACUUAUGGACCUCACCAGUUUUGAGUACUGCAGGACACAAAUACUACUUAGUAUUACUUGACGAUUAUACAAAUUUCUUGUGGACCUUUCCAAUUGGCCAAAAAUCCCAGGUUUAUCCCAUAUUCUUAACUUUCGCAAAAUAUAUAAACACACACUUCAAUAAACAAAUAAAAAAUUUCCAAUGCGACAAUGGCCGAGAAUAUGAUAACUCAAAUUUUGCCCAGUUUUGUAAAAACCACGGAAUGAGUUUCCGUCUCUCCUGCCCCCACACAUCAUCUCAAAAUGGUAAAACCGAACGUAAAAUCCGCUCCAUUAAUAAUAUCAUCCGCAGAUUACUCCACUGCGCAUCCAUGCCCUUUUAUUUUUUGGCAUUAUGCGCUCCACAUGGCAACCUACAUAUUUAAUAUACUUCCCAGCAAGCUUCUUGCUUACUCCUCCCCAACCCAACUCUUAUAUCAACCCACACUUUCCUACACACACCUCCGUAUUUUCGGCUGUUUAUGCUAUCCCCUAUUCCCACCCCCCACCAUACAUAAACUCCAAAAACACUCCACCCCGUGUGUGUUCUUAGGAUAUCCCCCCAAACAUCGUGGAUACAUGUGCUACGACCUCUCUAGUGGCAAAAUUAUCAUAUCCCGCCACGUGAUUUUUGAUGAGUCCAAUUACCCCUUUGAGGCUGCCCCGUCCGCUGCCCCCACUCCACUCGCCAGAGUCGAUGAUGACCCUUCCCCUCUAUUACAUGAGCUCAUUGACCCCACCUCGGGUGCCCCAUGUACGACACCACCUGUCUCCCCCACUCGGACAGAUCCACCGCGGCAUGACUCCCCACCCCCUGUACCAUCAAAUACCACCACAACCUCCCCUAUCACAACCCCAUUCCCUCCCUGGACAAUGACCACUCGCGGUAUGCGCGGCAUUUUCAAACCAAAAUAUCCCCUUAACUUAUCUAUUAUCUCCAGCCCUUCCCCCAUACCUCGUAACCCAAUCAGUGCCUUGUCCGACCCGAAUUGGAAAUAGGCCAUGCUCGACGAGUACAAUGCUCAUAUUAUUAAUAAGACUUGGGUAUUAGUUCCGAGACCACCUAAUGUGAAUAUAACUCGGUUCAUGUGGGUUUUUCGGCACAAAAAGAAAUCUGACGGUUCUUUUGAACGGCAUAAAGCCCGUCUUGUUUGUGAUGGCAGGUCCCAGCAGGUUGGCAUCGAUUGUGAUGAGACGUUCAGCCCAGUUGUCAAACCGGCCGCCAUUCGUGUAGUUCUCAGUCUUGCUCUGUCUCGAUCAUGGACUAUUCACCAACUUGACGUCAAGAACGCUUUCUUACAUGGCCAUUUGCAGGAAACAGUCUAUAUGCAUCAAACUCCUGGUUUCCGUGAUCGUCACCAUCCCGACUAUGUCUGCCUAUUGAAGAAAUCCCUUUAUGGCCUCAAACAGGCUCCACGAGCUUGGUAUCAGCGAUUUGCUGAUUUUGUUUCGACUAUUGGCUUCACUCACAAUCGGGUGAUCAUUCCCUAUUUAUUUAUCAUAAUAAUAAUGACACCGCCUAUCUGCUCCUCUAUGUUGAUGACAUCUUGCUUAUUACCUCAUCUGACAAGCUCCGCCAGUCAAUCAUGUCUCGUCUUGCCUCCGAAUUUGCCAUGAAAGACUUGGGUUCCUUGAGCUAUUUUCUAGGUAUCGCAGUAACUCGACAUAAGGAGGGCCUUUUCCUGAAUCAACGCCAAUACGCCAAGGAAUUAAUUGAGCGCGCAGGUAUGACCGACUGUAAGCCAUGUGCCACUCCCAUUGACACCAAACCAAAACUUAGCUCGGUCUCUGGAUCACUUUAUAGCAAUCCCACAUUGUAUCGUAGCCUUGCAGGUGCCUUGCAAUAUUUUACAUUCACCAGGCCAGACAUCUCCCAUGCCGUUCAACAGGUAUGCCUACACAUACACGCACUAAGCAAUGACCAUAUGGCUAUUCUUAAACGUAUCAUCCGCUACGUCAAAGGAACAAUAACUUUCGGCCUUCACCUUUACGCCACCCCUGCUACUGAUCUUGUAUCUUACACCGAUGCCAAUUGGGGCGGCUGCCCAGACACCAGAAGAUCAACAUCCGGGUAUUGUGUUUUCUUGGGCGAUAACUUGGUCUCUUGGUCCUCUAAACGCCAACCAACCAUGUCCCGCUCCAGUGCUGAAGCUGAAUAUCGGGGCGUUGCCAACGUCGUCUCUGAAUCCUGUUGGCUCCGAAAUCUACUACUUGAGCUCCAUUGCCCCCCACGAAAAGCUACAAUUGUUUAUUGUGACAAUGUGAGCGCCAUUUACCUAUCCGGCAACCCUGUCCAGCACCAAAGAACUAAGCAUAUUGAAUGGAUAUCCAUUUUGUCCGUGAACAGGUUGCUCGGGGUCAAGUUCGUGUUCACCACGUACCGUCCCGUCAUCAAAUUGCUGACAUCUUCACUAAAGGUCUUCCGCGCGUGCUUUUCAAUGAUUUUCGGGACAGUCUCAGCGUUCGUGAACCUCCCGCUUCGACUGAGGGGGUGUAUUAGAUUCGCUAUAUUCAUUGUAUAGUAUAAUUCCCAUAUAAUCCCAUUACCUAACUUAGCCUAACUAUCCUAUGAUAGUCCCACAAAUCAAGCAGAAUAGAAUCCUUCCCAUAUAUUAAGGAUUCUCAUGUAUCAAUUAGUUUGUAUAACGAAUCCUUCCCAUAUAUUAAGGAUUCUCAUGUAUCAAUUAGUUUAUAUAAAUAUUGACCUUAAAGAAAUAAAAUACUCAGGGAAAUAAACUCUUUUAGAUAUGAUUAAUAAAAAUUAGGGAGAUAGAUCUUCAACAUAUCCAUGAUAACAUCUUGAAAUUUUUCUUCACAAACUUCUUCGGCUACAUUUGGAAACUUGUUCAAAUCGAAUCCGAGAUCCGCAGGUUGAUUCAAAUCAAAGUUUCUUGGAACUUUGAUAUUUUCAGAAUCAAAAUUCACGAAAUCUCCAUUUUCUUGCAUUUUCAAUCUAUGGAGUACUGUGUUUUAAGAGAAGAAUUGCAGGUAUGGUUUCUUAGUUCCAUACAGGUCAAGCAAUCAAUCCACUCUUGGAAACCAACGAGAAUGUCAAGAGCUUUUUUUCUUUUUUGAACCAGAACCAGAAGACGCUAGUACUAAGAAGAAAGGGUAGUAUUGGAAUAAAAGUGGACAAUUUAGCUUUAAACUUUUAAAACAUCUAUUAUUUUAAGAAAAAUAAAAACUCCUUAAACGUCAGAUAUAAUAGGAUGGAGGGAGUACUACUUUUUUCAUUGACCGAGUGCUGAUAUUCAUCAUCCAUCAAAAUAUAUAGUCCUUUGAAUUCUAGUCUCCAAUACUCUGGGAAAAAAAAUAUCAGCUGAAGAAAAAAAAUACAAAGUGCAUGCAUGACUCACAUGUUACAACUUAUUUUAAAUUUGAUCAUAAAAUGGAAAGUUUUUAUUUAUUUUUGCCGUGAUGUUUAUGAAUGGUUCCAAAUAUUACAAAGAUUUUUAUCUUUGAACUGUUGGAGAUGGGGUUACUUCGAUGGUUCGUUCAAAUAUUUUUAUUUCACAAAUUACUACUAUUUCAGAUACGUCAUGGUGUAGGAUUUUUUGGAUACGCACACGCACAUAAAAUAAAUACAAAACUUCCUAUUCCCCAUCUUCGUCGGUAUAACAAUACAUUCUACCAGGUACAUAUCAGCAAUAUGUCAUCUGCAGUAUAAUAAUAUAUUCACAGUAUAAUUAACUUACCCUUAACCUGACCCUGACAUAUUGCCAAGUGUUUGAGAUUAAUUACUUAGCUAUAACCUUGUUCGACGAUAACUUAAAUGAUACAGACGGAGGAGUUAACUUACCUCCUCCUUAAUUCUUGUUCUUAAUCUUAUCCUUGGACCCUUCACGAGGUUUUUGUGUUGUUCCUUCCCCUAUCUCUUAGGACUUAGGAGUCAUUAUUAGGGUUGGCUUCCUUUAGCCUACUUUAUCUAGAUGCAUGAGAAAGCUCCAUCUAAUAACAGACUCAAUAUUGACGUCUUGCUUCCAAAGCAUAGUGCUUACAAUUAUCACCGGACAUGUGUAUGUUGUGUUGCAGGCCGGUUAGUGAGUCUAGUCCUCACCUUUACCUUCAUUGUCCUGUAAAAUGGGAGAUUAAUUUGGCAUAACAAUCAUCCGCCGAAUCACAAGUCCCCCCUCGUACGUAUUUUUCUUCAUUUCCUCCACCAGAUGCCUUUAACAAAGACCACCCUCCUGCACACACAUGUACAUACAUAUAUAUAUAUAUAUAUAUAUAUAUAUAUAUAUAUAUAUAUAUAUAUAUAUCAUAAUAUGAAUAAUUAAAGAGAGAGAGAGAGAGAGUAAUUAAUUACCAGGUACAAGAAGAAUCAUGAGGAUGAUCAAGUAAGCGAACUUGUUGUAUGAAGCCUUCAAGGCCAUAUUUUUGUAUAUAUGCUACAUACCAAAAAAUAAUGAAGUUCAUAUAUAUGGAGUAUAUCGCUUGAUGCACGAAUGAAUAUGUAUAAGGAGAGCCAAAACGUCGUCCUCUAUAAUUAAAUGAUGAAAAUAAUUAAGCUGAAUUUCCUAACCCUAUUAUAUAUAUAUAUUCACUUAUACGUGAAAUAAAAAUCAUUAAAGAUACUCUCCACUCUGCAAAAAGAUAUUCAAUUAUUUUUUUUCUAUUUAAUUUACAAAAAGAUAUAUAUUUGUGUAUCAAGCAAUAUAUAUGAACUUCAUUAUUUAAUUUGAGAAUAUUCAUUCUGCAAAAUACGUUGCCCUUGGUCAUGAUGUAUACACCGGUCAAAAUUUGGUCAAACUUAAAUUGUUUUUUUUUUAAUUUUUCUUAUCCUAGCUGAUGUUAUAAAAAAAGUUGUUUAGGACUAUAAAUAAGUACGCUUAUUAGGGGUGCUUGUGAACAAAUACGUUUUGUUUAAUUGAGAAUAUUAUUUUUCGUUCUCUUUAUGAGUUCUUUAUCUUUUUUUGCGGAUUCAAGCUAGGAUUUUUAUUCUGUUCUUGUUGGUACGAUAACCUUCAAAUCACUUUUGUGUUAGAGCGUUACAAUUUAACCAUUAUUAAUUCUGCUACGUAUGAAAGAUAAAUUAAAUAAUUUAAAUUUUAUUGUAGGGAUAAUAUGAUAAACUAAGUCAAUAUAUUAAUGCUUUCUUAAAAUAUAAAAACGAUAAAUAAAAAGGAACGAAUUAAAUUUUACUCUAUAGAAAAACAAAUACAAAAAGAACGGAGAGAAACUAAUUAAUAUAGACGUAUUUCGUGGGAAACUGACAUGUUAGAAAAUUAAUUAAGAAAGCUAAAACUCAAUAUUUAAGGUAAGCUAUAAAUUUAUGUUAUAUUUAUUUUUAAAUUAAUUUAAAUAAACGUAUUUAAUCGUGUUAAACGUGUCAAUCAGCUAAUUAUGCAUGUGAUUGACACAUUUAAAUUUUGUGGUAAACGUGUUGAUAUGUUUAUGACAUAAAAAUUGUUUACACUUAAUACUAACCCUCUCUAAUUGUAUGUUGUGUUAGUGUCGAGUUACCGUGUCAUGUUAGAAAUUGUCACUCCUCAUAUAAUUAAAUAUGAUAUGCAUGGUGAAUAGUAUGAUUUAAAACAGCAGUUCAUCAUAGAAACACAAGGACAUCAUACAUUAGAAUUUAUGGAAUUGGUAGUAUCAACAUAAAAAAGUGUUCUAUUUUUUGAAAGAGUACUGUAGAAGACUGAAAUAUAUCAAAUAUAUUAUGUUUUAAUGAAAAAAAUUACAAGUGAUUCUUGUUGAAUGAAAAAGAGGCCGGUGUCAUUGAUUCUUGUUGAAUGGGGGAUAAGACCAUAUGAGGAUUGAAAACAAUGUUUGGAACCUAAAAAAAACUGUCUUAUGAACAUAUCCACACUUUAUAAAGAAUUAAUCAAGCGUAAUUAAUUGACCAAUUGUUAAGUAAAGUGGGCAAAUUAAUUAAUCCUUACAUAAAUAAAAGCUAUAUAUAUAUAUAUAUAUAUAUAUAUAUAUAUAUAUAUAUAUAUAUAUAUAGAAUAUUGGACAAGACGGGGCAAAAAUUUGCAUAAACAAUAUAAAAAAAAUAGAGAAUUAAUAUUUUUAUUUUACAGUGAGAUCUAGUGAGGAGGAAUUUACGCAAUUAAUAUUUUUAUUUGUAAAAAUAUCAAUUAUCAAAGUCAAUAGAUUGUAAUAACUCGCGUUUGUUAUAAAACUUAACAUCAUCAUAAUCCAUAACCAUAGCCAUAGAGAGACUCACGCACAUAAAAAACGAAGAAGAAAAAGGAGAGGUAGAAAUUAUAACAGCUGGAUUUUAUAUAUUGGUAAAUUGAUUGAUAAUUAAUAGUGAUGACAUGGAUCAGAAACACGCGCAGGCGUUUCGUAUACACAUUGGAGCCAAGGUUCUACCACAGCACUGACGGCAGUCAUUGAGAUCUUGACAUACUAUGUUGCAGUUGCGAAGAAUACCCUCGCACCCAUUCCAAGGUUUGUCGUCAGAGCUGGACGUCAAUUCCGGCGCCGAAUAAUUAUGGCGAUGGUCAACACAUGUCCAGUUGCCUUUCAUAUAUUUGGGAGUCCCUACUUUACAUGAAACUUUGCAUUCGCCGGAAGUUAUACUCUGUGGCCUCAUCCCACUAUUUGCGACUGAUAAACCUGCCCAUGCAAUGACAUACAUACAUGCAAACAUAUAAUUAGUGACAUUCAAAUAAUCUGUCGCUAUUGUAAAUUGUUCACAAAUACUAAUACUAAUAUUUUUAUAUAUAUAUUUAUGUUCGUUAAGAGAGACUAACCAGCAACAAGAAGCAAUAGGGCUGACACGAAAAGCAGCUUAAACGAGUACUUCCCCAUAUGUAUAUCUAUUGCCUAUUGGUGAUGUGAUUUAUAAGCAACUAUGCUAUCAGUUUUACUUAAUUUGCAAUGUUAUACUACUAUAUUAAGAAUGAGUAUGCUCUACCAAGAGGGGAAGAAACAUGAAUAUAUAUAGAGUAAAGGGCAUUAAUUAUUUAGAUUACAAAAACUAUCCAGAUUAUUAUCAAUUAAUGUCAGAUUACAAUAUUUUAUUUGGCAAUUAAUAUUGUCAGAUUAUAAAUAAUAUUGGCUGACCAUAUAAUAAAUAUUGGUUAACGUGUUCUCUAUAACAUUAAUAAAGGUUUUGCUAAAUACACAUUUGUUCAGUUAGCAUCAUUUUGUGCUAUAUAUGACAAUAUCACAAUCUCUUAUUUAAUCUUUAAAAAAAUAUUUUAUUUAUUAUUUUAAUAAAUUAUGGAAGUUUUCAUCUCCAAUAAUGUGAUAUCAGUAGAAAAUUGAUAUUUUCACAAGUAAAAAUAAUAGUUUCACAAAUUUUCUCUCACAUAAAUAAUUAAUGGGUUUCAUUGUGGAAAUAUCAGUUUUUACUUGUAAAAAUAACAAUUCCCUAUCAUUAAUUACUUGACUAUGUAUUGGUUAUGUCUUAAAUAUCAUUUGUCUUAUUUAAUGUUUUGCAGACAUAUUUGAAAAUAAAAAGCGAAUUAUUACUCUCAAGAAAAUUUUGAUAUUUUCAUAAGGUUUCUCUUAUACGAGCGUCGGUCACAUUUAUUAUUCAUGUGAAUGGAACCUACCUUAUAGAAAUAUCAAUUUUUCAUGUACAAAUAUUAAUUCCCAAAAAAAACACUUGAUACGGCCCCCUGCAUUAGUUUAUUUAUUUUAGGAUAGUCUAGUAAUUUUAUUGCGUAUGUUGUUAAAAAAAUAAUAAUAAAUAACUCUCUUAAGAUGGUUUUUCUAUAAAAAAAAAUCAAUAUAUAUUUAUUAGCUAAAUUGACCAUAAUUUGUCUCAUGUCAAUCUUUUUGGUAAUUUUGAACCUUUUUAAAUAUAAUUAUUAUCAAAUUCUCCCUUAGUGUUCUAUUCUUCAUUAUCCAAAUAAUCAUGAAAUGAUCUGGCAUUAGGAUGGGUAUAUAUGAUAUUAAUUACUGCAUUCGUUUAAGUUUAGAGACAGAAAAUAGAAGAUUAAGUUUAAACUUUUUAUAGUUAAAUUGAGAUCUUUUAAAUUAAAAAUUAAUGUAAUUCAUUUAAUUUUUGAAAAUAAUAUAAUUUGUAAUUAAUAGAACAAUUUAAAUAGUUUUCAUGAUUGUAUUAUCUAAUUUUAAAUGAAUUUAUAUCAAUUUAAAAUUUAAAAUAAUUUUAAAAAAUCGCUAUUAAUUCUACGAGGAAAAGAAAAUGAUCAAGGAAUAUUAUUGCAAUCAAGGAAUUCAAAUUUUUUUAAUUUAAAUUCUCUAAUACAUGUUAUUGAGCUCCCUCUCAUAUCAACAGUAAAUGAAUUCCAUAAUAAAUUUAUUGCAACAACACUACUCGGUCCUAAUACACAUCAGCUUACAUUCCGACAUUGCAACAUUACGGAGUAAUUUAUAAUUAGAUUAUGGAAAUUAAGUGAACGUAAAAAACGUUGUUUUCCAUCAUUUUAUUUAUUUUUUUAUUUUUCUAACCACUUAAAACUUCAAGACAAUUAGACCUGACCCAAACCCACGGGUCGCAUAACUCAUCCUCUAAAUUCAAGAGUUUGGACUUAAAUUAAUGUCACCGGGUCUUUUUGACUCCGUCCAUUUAAACCCAACCUGUGGGUGAUCCGAUCCAUUAGUUAAUAUUUAAUAUUAUUUUUACUUAAAAUUUCUCCCAUUAAUAUGCACUAAUAAGUUAACUCUCCAACUAUUUCAUCUUCUCUUUAUAAUUAACCAUCACUCCUUCCUAAUUCUUUUGUCGUUUUGCAACUAUCGGUACUAUUCAUUCUCCAUACAUAAAAAGGUUGACCUUAAGGGCACAUUUUAAGCACUGAAUUCAAAAUAUAAGACCCACUGAAAAAUAAUUUUAAAUAUGUAAAAUAAUAUUUCAAUAAGACCGUAUACAUUUAAAAUUAUAUUUCAAUGAACUUCAUCCCUUAAAUUUCGUGUUUAACACGUGUUAAGAAAAUCCCUUUUUCAUCGUUUUAUAACAAAUUGAGUUUUAUUGUAUAGAAAACUUGGAAGUAAUUUAUGUUUUAUUAUUCAAAAGAAGUUGAAAUAAUUUCCGUUGUAAAAAAUAAUAGGUUCUUUACAAUAAUAUACAAUAAUCACUAAAUAAUUACACUAUUAGUGGAUCUAUAAAAUAAUUAUAAAAAUAGUACAAUUCACAUUAAUAAAGAAACCUAAAAUCAAAAAGAAAUAAUUGUCAUAAUUAAUAAUUCAAAUUCAAAUAUUUGAGAUCUAACAACAAAAACAAAUUCAAAAUAAUAAUUCACCCAAACUAAUAUGAGCAUAGAUCAGAUAGCCCGUCAGUAAGUCCAAUAACCCAAACAAAACAAAUUACUUGUACAUCCGAAACCAUAAAAAUAAAAUUCGAUGUAUUACAAACUUUUCCUUUCUUAACGAAGAGAGAUCAUAACAUUCACCGCCAUUGUAAUCUGGUGCGAACCACAUCAAGUAGAAACCUUCAUCUUCGAAUAUUACAGUGGACUCGCAGAGAAAAUAUUAGUCAAGCUUCAGCAACUGGAUAGAGAAGCAUGGCUAUUUGAUUUUUCACAAUUUUUUCAUGUCCGAAAAUUCCAAUUCCAAUUUCGUGGUCAAAAGAAAAUAAGAACACUGUAUAUGAAAAAGAGAGAUAAGAGAGUGAUGUGUAAUGUAAUGUUAAUAACCAAACAUUCGUACCAAGGUAACCAAACUAUUAUACCAAGGUAACCAAUCUACCUCCACACAUGCAGUAUGAAUUGGUUACCUUGGUUUGAAAGUUUGGCAACCAACGGUAUGAAGGUUUGGCUACCAACUGCAAUAACAUUCAAAAUAAAUUGGUAAUUUAAUAAAACUGAAUUGGUUAUCUUGGUAUGAAGGUUUGGCUACCAACUGCACUAUAAAAAAACUACAGGUGUGGAUGUGGAUUGGUUACCUUGGUACGAAGAUUUUGUUACCUUGGUAUGAGGAUUGGUUAUCUUGGUAUAAAGGUUUGAUUACCAACAGCACUAUGAAAAAACUGCACCUGGAUGGAGUAAUUAAUAAAUGUCAUACACAUUUUUUUUAGUAAGUGGGCAUGCACCUAGCUUAAACCCAUAUAUAUAAAAACAGUAAAACCCCUAUUUAAGAAUAUUCUAUAUAAGAAUAACCUCUACAAUAUUAUAAAAAAAAAUGGUCCCAAUUUGGGCCAGUUAUAAAUAUGAAUAACUUCUAAAUUGUAAUAUGUUAUAUACUCCCUCCUAUUCAUAUUAAAUGUCUUUUUAGAGUUAAACACACUUUUUAAGAAAUAACACAAAAUAUCUUUUGUAUCCCUAAUUAAUUAUUUCUCUCUCCACAAUGGUCCAUGGAAUUGUAUUUACUAAACAUAUUAAAUAGAGGGGUAAAUUAAAAAAAAAUAGUGUAAUAUUACAUAGGGAUUCCAAAACAACACUUAUAUAGAAUAAAAUGAAACUCUAUAAAAAGAUAUUUAAUAUGAAUAGGAGGGAGUACUUUUUAAGUCUCGUAUUAAAAAAUUAUACCUCUAUAUAGUAAUAAUUUCAUAUAUAUAUAUAUAUAUAUAUAUAUAUAUAUAUAUAUAUAUAUAUAUAUAUAUAUAUAUAUACACAUAUAUAUAUAGAGAGAGAGACAAUAUUAAUUUUAAAAGACUAUAUUUUCUAUAAAAGACUACAUUUUCUAUAAAUAACUACAUUUUCCUAUAAAAUAUUAUAUUUUCCUAUAAAAGACUAUAUUUGCUAUAAAAGACCAUAUUUUCCUAUAAACAUUUUCUAUAAAAGACUACAUUUUCCUAGUUUGAAAAUCUAAAUAAUUUAUGUGAGUUCUUAUUGACAUUUUGUUAAUGUGAAUAUUUUUGGGUGUUCGAAAAAUAUUUUGUACCAAUACCGCUAUUUAGUAAUAACCUCUCAAUUAGAAUACAAAUAAUUUGGUCAUAAAUUUAUUCUUAAAUAGAGGUUUUACUAUAUAUAUAUAUUUAGAGAGAGAGAGUCAGGAUUAAGUGCAUACCACUUAUCUUACUCACUCGUGCUCACCCCCCUUUAGGCGACGAUUUCGGUUAUACAACCGUUGUCUAUACUUUUAACGACGGACAACAUAUAGCGUUGCUAAAAGUAUAAACGACGGUUGUAUGACAGAAACCGUCGCCUAAAGGGGGGUGAGCACGGGUGAGUAAGAUAAGAGGUAUACACUUGAUCCGGACCGUAUAUUAUAUAUAUAUAUAUAAAACAAAAUAUAAUUGAUUUUAAAUUUUCUGCUCACCUUAAUAAAUCAUCUGGGCCAACCAAAGUUUGAGAUAAAUCCUACUGUCCAUGUAGUGCCGGAGGCACGGGACGAAUCUAGAGUGAUUCUUUUAAAUAACACUCCCGCUUAAAUAUCAUUUCCUUAUUAAAACUAAUAUAUAUAUUAGAACGGAUGUAGAACACUCCUCUUAAAUAUCACUACCUCUUAAAUAUCACUCAUUAAUUUAUUAAAAUUACGUCGUUUUGGAGAUUCUUUUAAAAUACUCCAUACAAAAUAAUAAGUAUUAAAAUAUAGUGAUCCCACUUGUUUUUUUUUAUUUACAAAAAUAACACUCGCGACUCCACAUGUUUUUUUUUAAAAAUUUCAAAACAAUGUAGUUUUAAUAAAAUAGUGUUAUUUAAGAGAGAGUGAUAUUUAAAAGAAAUGCUUUUGAUCCGUUAUAUAUAUAUAUAUAUAUAUAUAUAUAUNNNNNNNNNNNNNNNNNNNNNNNNNNNNNNNNNNNNNNNNNNNNNNNNNNNNNNNNNNNNNNNNNNNNNNNNNNNNNNNNNNNNNNNNNNNNNNNNNNNNNNNNNNNNNNNNNNNNNNNNNNNNNNNNNNNNNNNNNNAUCGCCGCCGGAACCAAAACCGGACUGCAAAGAACCAGCACAGGGGUGGCUAGGGUCAGUGCGAUCACCGUUCCGACGAGGGUCAAGCCUGAGAGGACAAGAAAGGACCCAUCGGAACGGUGUUGUGCCGCGAUCAAAAAACAAUCAGUUGGGAGUUGUUGAUCUUGAUUACGAGGAUUCUGAUGAGAGAUGGACAAAUGGGAGUCAUUUUCUGUGUUGGACAUUGCUUUACUUUCAGUUAGAGAUACUGUGUGUUGAUGAAAGAAUCAAUGGAUGAGAGAGAGAAAAGGAUGAGGAAAACAGUGAGUUAGAUCUGUAAACAUUUUUGCCUUGUUUUGAUUUGGGGAGAUAGAAAAAAAGAGAAUAAAUUCACUAAUUAUGUAAAUAAAAAUUUUAAAUGCAUUAAUUAUGUAAAUAUUUUAUGAGUCCACUAUUGUUGUAAUUAUUAUAAUUAUUUUAAAAAAUAUACUAAAAAAAUAUAAUUAUCCCAUAAAAAAUAGGUGUUUUUAACCCAGCCCAAAAAACUCAUCCGAAAGUAUUACAACCAGCAUUAAAAUGAAAGUCAAGCUUAGAUAAUGAUAUUUUGGAUCCGAUUAUCAUAAAUUUAUUUAAUAAAAUAUUGACACGCAUUAAACUUCGUCUGCAUGUAAUUAAUCAAUUGAUUAAUUUACUCAAAAAUAAACUUUAUGCUAACAAUUUAUUUUUUAAUAAAUUGAUGAAUUAACAAAUAAAAUAUUGACACGCAUUAAACUUCGUCUAUAUGUACUUAAAAAUAAAUUUAUGCCGAUAUUUUUUGUUGGUAGGGUACUUUCUUUGUCAGUGGUAUUUUAUGUACCCUUUUUUUUUGGGUGAACAAUUGGAUAGAUUGUUUUGGCUUAUUUGAUUACUUUUAAUAAAUACCAUCAGAUCUUAGAAUGAAUACAAUACAUGGAACAAGUUAUUCAAAAAUAAAAAAUAAAUCUUGAUUUAUUUUUCUAGGUCUUGCCAAUUGACAUGGAUUAAUCAAAGGACAAUUUACAACAAGAAGAAAAAUGAUUUAGUGUAGCACCAUGCUCGUAAAGUCUGAAGGGUAAGUAUCCAACAGACCAUGUAUUUUGGUGCUUCAAAAUCCACACAAAAAAUUAAUAAAAAUUAUCAUAUUUAUUUAUAGGGGCUUCUUUUCAUUGCGGGUGAUUGAAGAAUUAGCAAAGCAAUCAGAGAACUUUGAAGACCAUAAUGGUACGAUAUGAACUCAACAUGGAGGUUCAGACAGAAAAAGCUCAUCAUUUUACUUUGCUAUUUUGUUUAGAUCUGGAUCUGAUUUCAAUUUCAAUUGGUUAAAAAGUAGAAGAGAUCAUUGUAGGUGUUUUGGCAAAUAAACAGAUGAUAUUAAACAAAAGAAAAGAAUACUGAGUUCAAUCGAAUCUUGUUUAUGCCAAAUAUAAAUUUUAAUUUAGCACCUUAAAAUACCAGAUCUCGAAUUUUCCUUUCAACUAUGCUUCAAGUUGAAAGGGGCUAUAUGGUGCAGCAGCAGCAGCAGGAUAGAGGAGGAGAGAGAAAAUAUAUACAUACAUACUAGGGAUUGAAGACUUUGGAGUUACCUACUAAGUACUUUUUUUAUAGAUAAA